Molecule: long non-coding RNA, 56301 nt
Filed under: Vitis vinifera (wine grape)
Lineage: Eukaryota; Viridiplantae; Streptophyta; Magnoliopsida; Vitales; Vitaceae
Description: long non-coding RNA (VVIN_LNC003673)
Source: RNAcentral
GGUAGCAAGAAAGGAAUCCUUUCGUUGCCUCGAAUUUUCUCUUAAGCUUAAUCUAACUGUUUCGAUAAUUAAGUGUGAAGGUAUUUGGUAUCUUGUAUUUGCUUAUGCUUCAAAAGUUUUUAGUUUGCUAACUCUAUCCUAUAGUCUAGUUCAUUAAAUCUAUAGCCUUUAAUCUAAUUGGUUGAGCAUGAGCCAUAAACAUGGAUGCAGUUUAUCGAGAAAUCCUACUCCAAAAGAAAAAGAAAAAGAAAAAGAAAAAGAAAAAGAAAAAGAAAAAUUCCACAAGAAUAAUCUGCCAUACUCUCCUCAACAAGGUUAAAGAUCUUCUAUAAUUUUUUUAAUAAAUUUAGCUCUUGCUUAGGUAAAAAACUGACUUCCUUAUCAUCUAAAAUAAACCUAGAGGCCGUUACCAUUAGAGUUAUCCAAAAUUGUCCUUGUCCUUCUCUAUGGACAUUUAAUAGAGAACAAUCAAGGAAUCAUCAUCCACUAUAAGGUUCAUAAUGCUCAUGGAACACUUAUUUGGGACCUCGGGAGAUUGGGCUUUACGUUGAAAUGGCCAAGCUAAUGCCAAUUGUCUUAGAGUUGACAUGAACCAUGUUACUUAUGUGAUCUUUGGUUCUUUGGCCUUUUAACUGGUGGAACUUCUUUUAUUGGAUGAAGGAUCUUCUUAUGCCCAUUGUGUAUGAGCAUAUGCAUUUUUGUAGCCAUCAUGUUGAACCUUUCUAUAAAAAAGCCAAGUCUUCCAAGUUACAUGACCAUAGUUUUAAAAGGCUCAUGGCGCACCAAGGUGCAAAGUAGUCCUGGAGCUUGAGGCGCAAGGUGCACUUAAGGCGCAGGCUUUAGUGAAGUGAGGUGCAUCCUAAUUUACAUAUAUUUUUCCUCUAUUUUUUUCCUAUUUUUCCUCUUUUUCUUCAUCUUCUUCACUUCUCCACUGCACGGUUGAGGCUAGGGCAAAAUUUGGGAGAGUUGUCGGAUUGAAAACAACCAGAAAAGGGGACUGGAAGGGAAAACAGGGCCAAAAUGGCGUCGUUUUGGUCCUAAAAAUAAAAAAUAAAAAAUUAGGGCUUCUCUCUGCCCUCUGCAACCUGACUCCGGAGAAGAAGAGAAAGAGAAGGAGGUAGGGGAUCGAGGCGCACUUGUGGACCACGUCGCGCCUUGCGCACCUAAGCGUCGCCUUCGUGAAGGGGCGUCACGCCGCCCGGAGCCUAGGCGCACCUUUCACAACUAUGCAUAUGACUCACUUUUAUUGGUAAGACCUCACACCAUAUAGACUCUUUAAAGUCCUUACCAAAAAAGGAAUGUGACCAAGCAACAAAAGCUUAUUGGAAUUGAGGUGUCGUUAUCCUAUGCUAUUUGGAAUGGAUUUGAAUGUUUCUCUAUUUUAAUGUUAGCUUCUCAACAAGCUCUUGCAAAGCUAUGUUCCAAUUGCUACCUCCAUCAAUGAUCAUGGUACAUAACCACCGUUGGCAAGAGAUAUGUGUAUGGAAAAUGCUAGAAUCGCCAAUCUUCUUCUCUUUUCACCUUUGGGACAACUAACAAAGGUCACACUACAAGGCUAUGACCUUACGUCAUAUCAUCGUAAUAAUCACAUUUGUCACUAAGUUCAUCUUCAUUGUUGGUCUUUUCUUUUUUUGGAUGAUUUUCCAAUUUAGAUUUUGGUUUUUCAAAACAAAAGUGUAAACCUUUGCUUAGGUACACAUCAUAAUGAUCGUACCCACCACACUUAAAGCAAAAAGGAGUCUCACCUACCUUUUUGUCUCCAAUACUCGUGACGUUCUACCCUUAUUAGAGUCUCUAUUAGCCACAUUUGAAGCUUGUUGAUUAUUUUCCUUACCAUUCACAUGGUUAGAAGUUUGGGAAAUUGUUGUGCUAAGUGGUUUGCUUGUUGUUUGGUUGGAGAAAGUACUCCCAAUUUGUGACUUGGAUGUUUGGAAGCCUGAAACUUAAGCCCUUCUAUUUUAAGCGCUAGUUGAUAAACAUCAUCCAUGGUAUAAGUGUAUGCAAUUAUCCACUCAAGUUGAAUAUCCAUUUGUAGUCUAGCGUUAUAAAGGGCUGUAAGUUGAGCCUCACUUUCUCGCACUUGAUUCCAAAUGCUCAAUUCAUGGAAGUUUUUUGUAUGUUCUUCAACUCAAUACCUUGUUUGAGAGAAAACAAAUUUUGUGUUCGUAGUCAAUUGGGAGAAAGUGCUCCUUCAUCUUCAACUUCAUCUCGUCCCAUGUAUCUAUAGGUGGUUGUCUUGUUCUACAAAGUUGAUUCUUAAUAUUAUGCCACCAUAGACAUGUUGCUCCUUUCAACUUUGCCUUCACAAUACGAAUUUUUCUAUUUUCGGGCAUAGCAUAUCAACAAAGUAUUCUUCCAUUGACAUAAUCCAAUCAAGAAAAGCUGUUGGAUUUAACUUUCCAUAAAAUUUAGCAAUUUCAAGGUGUACCUUUUUUUUUGUCAAAUCUCAUCUUGAAUAAAUAGUUUGCCCCUUCUUUGAUUUCCCAUCAUCAAAUUGCCUUCUUCAUGUGGUCUACUAGGCGAUUGUUUGAAUUCAUGACUUGCAAUCUUAUCUUCAAUUGGUCGUUUUUCUUGGCUCUUUUGUAGUAACUUCAUGAUCUCAUCAAGUUUGCUAUUUAAUUGUAUUAUAGCAUUUUGAUAGGAUUGUUGUGUGGCAGAGAUUUUCUCUAAGUGUGUUACUUACAAAAAAAAAAAAAAAAAAAAGAAGAUGUCCUCUAUGUGUGUUGUAGCAAUAUCUUGAUUUCUAGAAGUAUUUUUUGAACUCAUGCUUGCAUAAGUUACUUCACUCCUCAAUUGCACAGACCUUCACACCAAGGACUUUUAAUCUAAUACCAAAAAUGAUGUAGGACAACCUUAGGAUGAUUGCCUACAAUUAAAUAGGUGGGCUAGGGUUUUUAUUUUUUAGGUUUAAGGAAAGGAACAAGGGAUAAAGUUUAUGGUAGAGAAAAAUAAAAUAAAAAAUAUAGAGAAGGAAGAUACAAAGAAUAAGAGAUAGAAACCUUAGAGUUUCACUAAGAUCUUUUAGGCAUCUCAUUUAAAAAAAAAUCAAUAGUUUGACAAUUGAGAAUUGCAAUACUUGCAAAAAAACUAAUAUUAUAUAAUCACCAAUUAAUUCUUUGGUUUAUAUCACUUAACUUUAUUUAUAGGUUUCUCUAAGAAAUUUAUAGUUUAUUAAGAUUUUAAUAACCUAUUAUGAAUCUAAUUCUAAUUCUCCUAUAACCUAAUUAGUUACUCUUAAUUUGACUCUAAUGAAUACUAAUCUUAAUUUAAUUUCAAUUAAUACUAAUCCUAAUUUAAUUCCAACCAAUGCCCAUCCUUAUCAAGGGGUUAAUUUGAAACCAUUCAUCUUCUUUAAAAUGCUCCUUACAAUGUUAAACCUUGAACUAUUUCAGAAAGGUUAAACUAAAAAGAUCCAAUAACUCCACCUAGAAUUCCUUUCUAAGUGUGACAUUAUUGGGACCAUGCACUGAAGUAAGUUGAAAGACCAUAAAUUUCCAAACCUCUAAAAAGAGAGAUGAGAGAGAGCGAGGACGAUCAUGUAAGCGAAGGCGGAGAAGGGGAAAGCCGGGCGGAGAAUCGAGGGAAGAGGAAGGGAAGUAGAUUCGUGGUGGAAUCGAAGGUGUUCGAAGUAGAAGCUGAGGAGAGGAAUGGCAAGAGCCAUGCCAUUAUCUCGGAAAGCAAGGGAGGGUUAGUGUCUUGGGUCCGUCUGGGGCUGGCGAGUGUGGGACUGUUCAUAGAAGGGCUGAUCCAGUGCACGAAGGAUGGGAAAGAUGGAAGAUGGGAGAAGGGCUGGAAAGAAAAAGGGAGGAUCUAUUCCCUGGUGAGAGAGGCUAAUAGGGUCGGGAGCUUCAUCCGCCUAGGGGUGACGGACCUGGAGAAAAGGAGAUUUGGUAUCUGUAUACCAAAAGGGAAAGGGGAAAAAGGAGGAUGGGUUUCUAUGGUGGAGUCCUUACUGAGGGUAGGAUUUCGGCGCGAGGAAAAGGAAGUUGAUCGAGGAGUAAGGGUUUUUGGUAGGUCGUAUGUGGAAGUGGCCAGGGGCUCAGAGCUCAGGGAUACUUCAAGGGUCAGAGUAGAGACAAAGGAGGAGGAAAUAAGGAACAAUGUGAGCAUAUUGAAGCAAUGCCUGAUAGGUAAUUGGAACCCUAAAUCAGCACGAGAAGAGGACCUAGCGAGAUUGGGGUGGUCAGUGGCAAGAGCGUGGGGAUUGAAAGGUAAAUUAGGCCUGGCUAGACUGGGAAAGGGCUAUGCUCUGUUGGAAUUUGAGACGGUGGAAGAAGCCAAGAGGGUUCUCGCCUCGGGGGUGAGAUCAGUGGGAGGGACCCAACUGGGUUUGGAGAUGUGGAGCCCGAGGUUUGGAUGCUCUGCAGAGGAUGAAGAUAGGAAAGAAGCUUGGGUGAGGAUCCUGGGUCUUCCAAUCUCGCUGUGGGUGCCGUCGAUCUUGAGGAGAGUGGUGGAAGAGUGCAGUGGGUUCCUAGGCAUCGAUCCUCUAACGGAAAGGAAAGAGGACUUGGAAUGGGCAAGGAUCCAGGUAAAGCUGAAUGGAGGGGCCUUGCCGAGUUCGAUGGAGAUUGGGGUGGAGGGGGAGGUAUACGUCGUAUCUUUGUGGUGGGAGAUUCCGCCGGCAAUAAGGAAAAAACAGGGGGAUGGCCGUGAUGAAUUUGGGCAGCAGAGAGGGGAGGUUAGGGGUGAUGGUGAUCCACGCGCGGGAUGGCGUGUGGGAGAAAAGCCGGGCGUUGGACCCAAGGAACAACGUCGGUCAGAGGAAGUGACAGGAGAGCAGGUGGAAGGGGAGGGUGGGGUUGGGUUUGAAAACUGGACCCAUCUCGGGCAGGUGACCCGACAGAGUUCUAGAUCCGCGGGCGAUGGGUCGAGUUCAUCCGGAUCAGGGCUUGGCCCCGUGGGCCUGAAGCGGGACUAUGGGCCAACUACGCAAGGCCCGCUUCUUUCUAAAGGGGUUGAAUUGGCUGCAGAUGGGAUAGAGCGUGGGCCGGCUGAGGGACGGGCCUCCGAAGGGCUGGAGCUCCUGUCCCAUGGGCCUACUAUUUCGGUUGGGGGCUAUCUGGGCCAAUUGCAGACUAAAUACAUGGGCAUAGUGUCACAAGCUGAUCCAAAUGAGCCUCCCCAUGACCUUAUAUAGAGCUAGGAAGCUUCUGGAGACUCCUAGAGUGGGAAGAGUGUGGAAGGUUCUAGAGAAGUCUGGAGGAAUCCACACAAUUCUACACCAUGGUAGAAGGCACGAGAGGAGUCCGGGGCUUUCUAGAGAAAUCUAGAAGACUCUUGUAUAUACUUGUAUAUAGGCUUGUACCUAGAAUGAUGUAGGACAUUCUAGAAUAGUCUUGAGUUGUAAGGAACCCUCCAAGGUUCUAGAGAGUUCCAUUGGUGCCUAUAAAUAGGUGAGGGCCUCAUUUGGCCAAGGCACCAAACAAGUGAGCAUCCAAGCACUUGUAAAUGCUUUCUUGAGUUAAUAAGAGUUUCCAUUCUUUAAGGAGUUGCCUACUAAGCUCUUAAGCUUUCGAGUCACGAGUGUCUUAGCUGAGCAAGCUAAGCGUUGGGGAUCAAGGCUGACUUAGCAAGAUCAAGCGUCUUGACUUGCCUAAGUGCCGCACGAGCUUAGUGAACGACUAAGUCCGUGACAAGUGGUAUCAGAGCGUGGCUACGAAGCGGGCAUAACGGAAGCAUGUCGGGCUCUAACGUGGAGGAGACUAGCGAACAAACCCGUGGGAGGGAGGCCGAGCCUACUGCAAGGGGCAGGGGCAGAGGUAAGAAGGAUACAUCUCGUGAUGUUGUUGCCAACAUGGAGGCAAGGUUAGCCAAGGUGGAGCUAGCCAUGGCAGACACCCGGGAAGGGGUGGACUUGAUCGAGCAAGGCAUGGAGAAGGGCUUAGAGGAUCUAAGGGAGCAGAUCCAAGACCUUCGCGAAGGGGUGCUGGUCUCGCAAGUUCAGUCGGUGUCACACGAGGAGUUCAUGUCCUUCCAAGACAAGGUCAUGAGCAUGUUCGCUAGUGUGGAGUCAAGGAUGGAGGCCUUGACUGCACGAGUGGAGGCCCGAGACCAAGAGAUUCGACAAGAGUUGACCAUCUAUAAGAUCGCUGUAUCAGCACGAGUCAUGGCCACUCAUGAGGCACCAAGGGUGGAGGUGCCCAAGCCACACACGUUCAAUGGCAAGAGGGAUGCCAAGGAGCUAGAUAACUUCUUGUGGCACAUAGAGCAUUACUUUGAGGCAAUUGCAUUGACGGAUGAAGCCACUAAGGUACGCACCGCGACCCUUUACCUCACUGAUAAUGCUACUCUAUGGUGGCGUCGACGAUUUGCCGACAUAGAGAGAGGGACGUGCACCAUAGACACAUGGGAUGCCUUUAAGAAAGAAAUCAAGAGGCAAUUCUAUCCCGAAGACGUGGCUUACCUAGCAAGGAAGAGUUUGAAGCGUCUCAAGCACACGGGCUCGAUCCGUGAGUAUGUCAAAGAAUUCUCUACUCUUAUGCUUGAGAUACCUAACAUGGCUGAGGAGGAGCUACUGUUCAACUUCAUGGACAACUUGCAAAGCUGGGCCGAGCAAGAGUUGAGGAGACGUGGUGUCUAAGACUUAGCCACGGCCAUGGCAGUAGCCGAGUCCUUAGUAGAUUAUAGAAGGGGAGACUCCUCCAAGCCCAAGUCACCAUCCAAGGGUAACCAGGCCAAAGGUGGGGGAGACAAGAGGUCGCAGGGCCACACUCCUAAGGAAGGAUCAAGCAAAGGCCCUAGUGGCAAGGAUGACAAAGGCAAAGACAAGCGAAAGGAGUUCACGCCCAGGACCAAUUGCUUCUUGUGUGAUGGUCCGCACUGGGCACGAGACUGCCCUAAGAGGAAGGCUUUAAAUGCUAUGAUCGAGGAAAAUGAGCAGGAGGGCGAUGCUAAAGUGGGAUCGUUGCAGCUCCUAAAUGCCCUUAAGGCCAAGCCGAUGCCUAAAACGCCUCAAAGCAAAGGGCUGAUGUAUGUGGAGGCCCUUGUGAAUGGAAGGCCACCAAGGCCCUGGUGGACACAGGUGCCACUCACAACUUUGUCUCGGAGGAUGAGGCAAGAAGGUUGGAGCUCCAAGCAUCCAAGGAAGGAGGAUGACUCAAGGCAGUCAAUUCAGCCGCUAAGCCAUCACAUGGAGUAGCUCGCGGGGUGACUAUGCACAUCGGCUCGUGGGAAGGAAGGGUCGACUUCACAGUGGCACCCAUGGACGACUUCAAGAUGGUGCUAGGAAUGGACUUCCUACAGAAGGUCAAGGCCGUGCCACUACCUUUCCUACGCUCAAUGGCUAUCCUAGAGGAGGAGAAGCCGUGCAUGGUCCCUACGGUCAAUGAAGGUACGCUCAAGACCCCUAUGCUAUCCGCUAUGCAAGUAAAGAAGGGGUUAAAGAAGGAAGAGGUGACCUACCUCGCCACCCUGAAGGAAGAGAAGGAUGAUGGGUCGGGAGAACCCAUGCCUAAGGAAAUUGAGGGGGUCCUUGAUGAAUUCAAGGACGUAAUGUUGCCCGAGUUACCUAAGAGACUUCCUCCUAGGAGAGAGGAAGAUCAUAAGCUUGAGUUGGAGCCGGGAGCCAAGCCCCCUGCUAUGGGGCCAUAUAGGAUGGCACCACCCGAGUUGGAGGAGCUAAGGAGACAACUCAAGGAGUUGCUGGAUGCGGGGUUCAUCCAACCAUCCAAGGCUCCCUAUGGCGCGCCGGUUCUAUUUCAGAAGAAGCAUGAUGGGUCCCUACGAAUGUGCAUAGAUUACCGGGCACUCAACAAGGUGACGGUGAAGAACAAGUAUCCCAUCCCGCUCAUUGCUGACUUGUUCGAUCAACUUGGAAGGGCAAGGUACUUCACGAAGCUGGACUUAAGGUCAGGCUACUACCAAGUCAGGAUUGCGGAGGGAGAUGAGCCGAAGACUACAUGUGUGACCAGGUAUGGCUCAUAUGAGUUCUUAGUGAUGCCUUUCGGACUCACCAAUGCCCCAGCAACGUUUUGCACCCUCAUGAACAAGAUCUUCCACCCAUACUUGGACAAGUUUGUGGUGGUGUACUUGGAUGACAUAGUCAUCUAUAGUAACACUCUAAAGGAGCAUGAAGAGCACUUGAGGAAGGUCUUUAAGAUCUUGAGGCAUAACAAGCUAUACGUGAAGAAGGAGAAGUGCUCGUUUGCUAAGGAAGAAGUGAGCUUCCUAGGGCAUCGCAUCAGAGAUGGCAAACUAAUGAUGGAUGAUAGCAAGGUGAAAGCCAUCCAGGAGUGGGAUCCACCAACCAAGAAGAAUAAGGCAUCGGAAUGGGAUGAAAGGUGCCAACAAGCCUUUGAGGACCUGAAGAAGGCUGUGACUGAAGAGCCAGUGUUGGCACUACCCGACCACACCAAGGUCUUUGAGGUACACACAGAUGCCUCAGACUUCGCUAUUAGGGGAGUCCUUAUGCAAGAAAGGCACCCAAUCGCAUUUGAGAGUCGCAAGCUAAACGACGCAGAGAGGCGUUACACGGUGCAAGAAAAGGAGAUGACCGCUAUCGUCCACUGCUUGCGCACUUGGAGGCAUUAUCUGCUAGGGUCUCACUUCAUAGUGAAGACCGACAAUGUGGCCACUAGCUACUUCCAGACGCAGAAGAAGCUGAGUCCUAAACAAGCUAGGUGGCAAGACUUCCUGGCCGAGUUCGACUAUACGCUGGAGUAUAAGCCGGGAAGUACUAAUCAUGUGGCCGACGCCCUAAGCCGCAAAGCCGAGCUAGCGUCUAUGACGAGUCAACCCCAAGGAGACAUAAUAGAUCUUCUAAGGGAAGGAUUGCAACAUGAUCCAGUGGCUAAGAGCCUCAUCGCCCUGGCUCAUGAAGGGAAGACCAAGCGGUUUUGGGUGGAGGACGGCUCACUCUACACAAAAGGGAGACGACUCUACGUGCCUAAGUGGGGGAACAUAAGGCGGAACCUGAUUAAGGAGUGUCAUGACACCAAGUGGGCAGGGCACCCUGGGCAACGACGCACUAGGGCACUACUCGAGUCGGCUUACUAUUGGCCUCAGAUACGGGACGAGGUUGAGGCCUAUGUGAGGACUUGUCUUGUGUGCCAACAAGACAAGGUGGAAUAGCGACAACCUAGAGGCCUGUUAGAGCCACUACCUGUAGUAGAACGUCCAUGGGACAACAUCACCAUGGACUUCAUCAUCGGGCUACCUAAGUCGGAGGACAGCGGCUCUAUCAUAGUGGUGGUGGACAGGUUCUCUAAGUAUGAAACUUUCAUAGCAGCCCCGACCGACUGCACUGCGGAAGAGACGGCGAGGCUAUUCCUAAAACACGUAGUCAAGUAUUGGGGGUUGCCUAAGUUCAUCAUCAGUGAUCGCGAUCCGCGCUUCACUGGGAAGUUUUGGACGGAGCUCUUCAAGCUUAUGGGUUCGGAGCUUCACUUCUCCACAAGCUUUCACCCAUAGACGGAUGGGCAGACUGAGAGGGUGAAUGCCUUACUGGAGCUCUACCUAAGGCACUUCGUAAGUGCCAACCAGAAGGAUUGGGCCAAGUUACUAGACAUAGCCCAGUUCUCAUACAACCUGCAAAGGAGUGAGGCGACCAAUAAGAGCCCGUUCGAGCUAGCUACGGGACAACAACCGUUAACUCCUCACACCCUAACAAUUGGCUACACGGGGAGAAGUCUAGCGGCUUUCAAGUUCGCGAAAGGGUGGCAUGAGCAAGCUGACAUAGCCCGUUCAUACUUGGACAAGGCCGCUAAGAAAAUGAAGAAGUGGGCUGACAAGAAGCGACGACACACGGAGUACAAGGUCGGAGACAUGGUACUUGUCAAGCUCCUUCCUCAACAAUUCAAGUCCCUAAGGCCGAUGCAUAAGGGCCUUGUAAGGAGGUAUGAAGGACCCUUCCCCAUACUUGGGAAGGUCGGCAAGGUGUCCUAUAGAGUCGAGCUGCCCCCGAGGUUGAAGAUUCAUCCUGUCUUCCACGCAAGCUACUUGAAGCCCUAUCACGAAGACAAGGAUGAUCCAAGUCGAGGGUUGUCUAAAAGGGCACCUACAGCGGUCGUGACCUCCUAUGACAAGGAGGUAGAACACGUCCUCGCAGACCGGGUCAUCAGGAGACGAGGGGUACCUCCUGCUACGGAAUACUUAGUGAAAUGGAAGGGACUACCAGAAAGUGAGGCUAGCUGGGAGCCAGUAGAGGCACUAUGGCAGUUCCAAGAACAGAUCGAGCAGUUCCGAGCAGAAGGCGUGACGAGGACGUCUGCGGCAUAGGUGGGGGAGAGUGUCACAAGCUGAUCCAAAUGAGCCUUCCCAUGGCCUUAUAUAGAGCCAGGAAGCUUCUGGAGACUCCUAGAGUGGGAAGAGUGUGGAAGGUUUUAGAGAAGUCUGGAGGAAUCCACACAAUUCUACACCAUGGUAGAAGGCACGAGAGGAGUCCGGGGCUUUCUAGAGAAAUCUAGAAGACUCUUGUAUAUACUUGUAUAUAGGCUUGUACCUAGAAUGAUGUAGGACAUUCUAGAAUAGUCUUGAGUUGUAAGGAACCCUCCAAGGUUCUAGAGAGUUCCAUUGGUGCCUAUAAAUAGGUGAGGGCCUCAUUUGGCCAAGACACCAAACAAGUGAGCAUCCAAGCACUUGUAAAGGCUUUCUUGAGUUAAUAAGAGCUUCCAUUCUUUAAGGAGUUGCCUACUAAGCUCUUAAGCUUUCGAGUCGCGAGUGUUUUAGCUGAGCAAGCUAAGCGUUGGGGAUCAAGGCUGACUUAGCAAGAUCAAGCGUCUUGACUUGCCUAAGUGCCGCACGAGCUUAGUGAACGACUAAGUCCGUGACAAUAGGCUCUGAAGAGGAUCUGGGCCUAAAGAUGGAAAUGGAAUUCAUCAAGUGUCGUGAGAAGGAGAUUAGUGGGAAGUAGAUGCCGGCUCUCUAGUGCUCCAUGGCAGAGAGAGAGAUCGUGGAUGAAGCCUUCAGGUAUGGGUCCUCUUCAAAUCUAAGGGUUGGGGAAUCCUCUCUCUUUUCUUCUUCUCUUUUUGGUCGGACUCCGGAGAGGGAGUUUUGCGACCACUCUGGGGAUUUAAGGGAGAGCCGCCAGAAAGAAAAUAAGAUGGAGCUUGCAGCUACAGGGGGGGAUACAACGAGUAGAGAGGGCUGUUGGGACCUGAUUGAAAUCAAUUGUGACGCUUUAGAGGUUCAAAACCCGGAAUGGUCUCCAAUUCUGUCUGGGCCCCAGGUUCUAAGGAGCGAGAAGGAGACUAAUUGGGAGGAAAGUAGCUUGGCUAAGUUUAGCAAGCUGUUGGGAUUUUCAAUAGAAGUCCUGGAGAGGGAAAUUUUGGAUUUUUUGUCCAAAAUUAGGAAAAGACGGGAAAUGAUACAUAGCAAAGGGUUACUGGAGAAAUCAAAAUUUGAGAGGGAGCUCAAAAGGCUGGAAUGUUCAGUCAAAUAUAAGGGGAAGGACAAGAAGAACAAUCAUUUAAAAAGUAGAGGGGGCCAAUUAUUGUUGGGUUAAUGAAUCUCAAACUGAUGAGUUGGAAUGUGAGGGGUGCAAAUGACGUUAAUAAAAGAAGGAUUAUUAAGUCUGUGGUUAGAAAACAGAAGGUGGACUUGGUUUGUAUCCAGGAGACAAAAAUUCAGUUAAUGAUUGAUGGGGUGGUGAAAAGUUUAGGGGUGGGGAGAUUCUUUAGAUUGGAGAACUCUUGAAGCUGCUGGAGCAGCUGGAGGUGUGUUGAUUUGUUGGGACAAAAGGUCCUUGGAAAUGGUGGAUUGAGAGGAGGGCCAAUUCUCAAUCUCUUGUAAAUUCAGAAUUGUGGACAAUGGGGCAGUCUGGGUGUUCACAGGUGUUUAUGGCCCUUUCACCAAAGAGGAUAGGGAGUGUCUUUGUGAUGAACUUGGAGCAGUCAGAGGUCUUUGGGGUGAUCCAUGGUGUGUAGGGGGAGAUUUUAAUGUUAUUCUCGCUCAAGAGGACAGAAGCAGGUAAGGGAGGGUGACUCCAGCUAUGAGGAGGUUUGCUCAGGUUAUGGAUGACCUUGAGCUAAUCGACCUUCCCCUUCAAGGAGGCUUUUUCACGUGGAGUGGGGGGCUUCAUAAUCAAGCCUGGGCCAGGCUAGAUUGAUUUUUGGUUUCUCCCAGAUGGCUUGAACAGUUCAGCAAUGUGACUUAGAAGAGAUUAUCUCGGCCUAUAUCAGAUCAUUUUCCAAUCAUAAUCGAGGGGGGUGGCAAAAGAAGAGGCCCUUCACCUUUCAGGUUCGAGAACAUGUGGCUGAAAGUGGAAGGGUUUAAGGACCUCUUGAGGAGUUGGUGGCAGGGGAUGUCGGUCAGUGGUAGGGCUAGCUAUAAGUUGGCAACAAAACUGAAGGGGAUUAAACAAAACUUAAAAGUUUGGAACAGGGAGGUGUUUGGGCACUUGGAGAGUAAUAAAUUGGCUGCCUUACAGCAUGUGGACUAUUGGGACCAAGUGGAAAGUGAGAGGAGUCUGUCAGAGGAGGAAUUUUCCAGAAAGAAAGAAGCGAAAGAAGGCUAUGCUAAGUGGGUUAAGUUGGAAGAGAUUCACUGGCGACAACUCUCAAGGGAGCUGUGGCUAAGAGAAGGGGAUAAAAAUAUGGGGUAUUUUCAUCGAAUGGCAAACGCGCACUGAAGAUGGCAUACCAUGGAAAGAAUAAAAAUCAAUGGGGCCUGGCUGUCAGAGGAGCAUGCAGUUAGGACCGGAAUAGUAGACGCCUUUUGUCGGUUAAUAAUCGGAAGACUCGGAGUGAAAGGCAGAUAUAGGGGGGUUAAAUCUGAAUCAGAUUAGCCAACAAGAGGCGGACAUCUUGGAGCUGCCAUUCAUGGAAGAGGAGGUCCAUUCGGCCCUAAUGGACAUGAAUGGGGACAAGGCUCCAGGUCCGGAUGGCUUUACAGGAGCCUUUUGGCAAUUCUGCUGGGAGUUCGUGAAGGAGAAGGUUUUGGAGAUGUUCAAGGAAUUCCAUGAGCAUAAUGCUUUUCUCAAGAGUCUUAAUACCACGUUUUUGGUUCUGAUCCCCAAAAAAGGAGGAGCGGAGGAGCUGGGGGACUUUAGGCCGAUCAGUCUCUUGGGCGGGUUAUACAAACUCUUGGCUAAGGUGCUGGCCAAUAGGAUUAAAAACGUGAUUGGUAGAGUGGUCUCUUCAGACCAGAACGCUUUUGUCAUGGGUAGGCAGAUUUUGGAUGCGUCCCUAAUCGCAAAUGAGGUGAUUGACUCGUGGAAAAAAGAAGGAAAGAAGGGCCUGAUCUGCAAACUAGAUAUUGAAAAGGCGUACGACAGCGUCAAUUGGGGUUUCCUGAUGAGGGUUAUGGAAAAAAUGGGUUUUGGGACUAAGUGGAGGGAGUGGAUAUGGAGCUGUAUAUCGACUGCUAAGUUCUCUGUGUUAGUAAAUGGGGAGCCAGCUGGGUUCUUCUCUAGCUCUAAGGGGCUUCGGCAAGGCGACCCUCUAUCCCCAUAUUUGUUUAUCAUGGGAAUGGAGGUGCUGAGUGCCCUUAUUCGGAGGGCUGUGGAAGGGGGCUGCAUCACUGGAUGUAGAAUCCAGAGGGGUAGGGGGCAGGCUGUUAGCAUCUCUCACCUUCUCUUUGCGGACGAUGCCAUAGUUUUCUGUGAGGCUAAGAAAGAUAAUAUGACUUUUUUGAGCUGGACCUUAUGUUGGUUUGAAGCCGCUUCAGGGCUGAGGAUUAAUUUGGCUAAAAGCGAAAUUAUUCCAGUGGGGGAGGUGGAUGAGAUCCUUGAGAUGGCUGUGGAGCUGGGUUGCAAGGUAGGUCAGCUGCCAUCAACCUACCUGGGGCUGCCUCUGGGUGCGCCUAAUAAAACUGGUUACGUGUGGGAUGGGGUGGAAGAACGGAUGAGGUGGAAAUUAGCCCUUUGGAAGCGGCAAUACCUCUCUAAGGGUGGUAGAAUCACCCUCAUAAAGAGUACACUGGCUAGCAUGCCAUUAUAUCAAUUGUCCCUCUUCCGUAUGCCUAAGGUAGUGGCAAGAAGACUAGAAAAAUUGCAAAGAGAUUUCUUGUGGGGAGGGGGAAGUACGGAAAGAAAAGCACACCUAGUCAGUUGGGAGAGGGUGUGUGUGAGUAAGGAGAAAAGGGGGNNNNNNNNNNNNNNNNNNNNNNNNNNNNNNNNNNNNNNNNNNNNNNNNNNNNNNNNNNNNNNNNNNNNNNNNNNNNNNNNNNNNNNNNNNNNNNNNNNNNUUGGUUUGAGGAAACUAGUCCAAUUGAACAAAGCCCUUCUUGGAAAAUGGGUGUGGAGAUUUGCUCGUGCCAAGGAGGAGAUGUGGAAAUGUGUUCUUAUGGCAAAAUAUGGGCAAGACGAAUUUGGGUGGAGAACUAAAAAAGCAAAUGGGGCGUUUGGUGUUGGGCUAUGGAAGGAGAUUUUGAAAGAAGCUGAUUGGUGUUGGGACAAUAUGACUUUUAAGGUAGGAAAAGGCACCAGAAUCAGGUUUUGGAAGGACCCUUGGUGUGGGGAUGUGGAGCUGGCCCGGAGGUUCCCUCAACUCUUCAAUGUGGCUGCCCAAAAGAGUGCCACUGUGGGGGAUUUAUGGGACCAGAAUUCUGGCCAAGGAGGCUGGAACCUAAGGUUUAUUAGAGGCCUCAAUGAUUGGGAGCUGACCUUGGUUGACGAAUUGCUUCAAAUUCUAAGGAGCCAAAGAAUUACCUUGGAGGAGGACUUUGGCCUUAUGGAAGGGGGGAAAAAAUGGGAAGUUUGACGUCAAGGAUGCGUAUGGGCUGUUGACCAGUCAUAGUAUCCCUUUGUUUCCCAAAAAGGGCAUUUAGGUGGAGAACGUUCCUUCCAAGCUAGCGUUUUUUGCGUGGGAAGCUACUUGGGGGAGGGUUCUUACUAUUGAUAGGCUUCAAAAUAGAGGAUGGCAAAUUCCUAACCGGUGUUAUUUAUGUGUUAGUGAUGAGGAAAAUUUUAAUCAUCUCCUUAUUCAUUGUACAGUGGCUAGCGUGUUGUGGGGGAUGGUUCUUAGUCUGUUUGGAGCCCAAUGGGUCUCUCUAGAAACUGUAAAGGAGGCGGUUAUCAGCUGGAAGGGUUCUUUUGUGGGUAAAAAGAGGAAGAAAAUUUGGAGAUCCAUACCGUUAUUUAUUUUUUGGACGGUGUGGAAGGAAAGGAAUAGAUUAGCAUUCGGGGGGGGGAGUUAGCUAUGUAGAAAGUUAAGUAUUCUUUUGUUUGUAAUAUGUGGGGGUGGGCAAAAUUGUAUAAUGGUGCGGAGUCUCGCUCCCUUAUAGGUUUCCUGGAGUGGAUAGCCUCCAGUUAAGGGCUGGUGGGUUUUUGUUGUUUUUUGGUCCUUUGUUGUGAGGCCUUCGUCGCCUCGUAUACUCCCUGUAUGCUAUGCGGCACUUUGCCUUUUGCUAAUAUAUGUGUGUUUACUUAUCGAAAAAAAAAGUAAGUUGAAAGACCAUUUGUCCAUUUGAAUCUAGCUUGAUUGAUAUUGAGAAAGAAUCUAAUAUCAUCUCUAUGCAACUAAAUUUACUAGAUUUCCAUAUUAUGAAUACCCCUCCUCUUGCCACACAAGCCGAAAGAUUAGCCUAGUCCUUAUUCUUAAUGGUUUACACAUUUCUCACUAAUCUUUUAUCGCACUUUGCUUUCCUUGUUUCCUUAAGCAUCUCUAUAUAAAGAUAUAAAUUCCUUAAUUACCCUUCUUUUCUUUCUUUACUCCAAACCACAAAUGUUCUAGCUUAUGAUCCUUGUGCCAAAUCUUAGAAGCCCAACUACUAACUCCCUCUAAACAUCAUUCCCCUUGAUAAUAGAUUUGUAAAUCCUCCUAAUGUUCUCCUUAUCCUUAGACCUAACACUAUUAUUGUUGAGGGAAAGAAAAUUCUCAUUAUGUUUGAUAAGUUUGACAUUCAUAGAGGUUAGAAUAGAUUUAACACUUUCCAUUUAGCUAAGAGUGAGCCCUUUAAUGUGAAAACCUUCUAAUGCUGAAGGGUUUGGGUUUAUAUUUGUUCUUCAAUAGGCAAAAGAACCUUCGUGGAUGCACUAGGCAAGGACCUAGGGAAAGUAUCUCUUGUAAACAUAGGGCAAGAGGGAGCUAUGGAACAGUCCAAUUCAACAAAUUUGGGACAACCAACACUAGAGUCAAGUACUGCACCAUUUUUUAUUUAUUUAUAAAAAAGGUUAAUUAAGGAUAAUGGAUUUGAUGGGGUUAGAGAUGGCUAUGUAGAAUUGAGGACUAAAGGGCCAAAGGUGAUUGAAUGAAGAACUUUUAGGGUCACGGGGGAUAGGUAAGAGGGAGUUUAGGAUGGAAAUGCAUGAGCCAUGGGUACCUCUCUUAACCUAUUAAAAGACAGAUCACACCACCCAUCUAAGUUCAUGUCCUUAGUAAUGACUACUAGACUUGAACUAAUGAACCAUAGUGAGAACUCCCUCCAAUUCUUACAUCCUCUAGGUCAUAGUCUGUUUUCUUUUCUAGUGUGGUUUUGAGUGCCAUAGGAUUUAGGACCACCAUUGCGUUAUCUAUCAUAGACUACAUUGCUUUUGAGGGAAAUGUGCUCCUACCCUCCUACCAAUAAAAUCUUUUGAUCUUCUCAAUGAUAAUUUUGCUAAGAUUAAGGCUACCUCUUAGCUCAACUGAUCCACAGUCCAAUAGAUGUUUUUUACAUUGUAAAUCCCUUAGGAUCCUAUAGUAGGAGGUAGCAAUUGGUAAUAGUCCAUUGAUGGAGGGAGGGAAACACCAAUUUUGUAACCCUUGAUGACUAAGAGAUCUAGAAGAAUUGGAGAGCAAUUGUAGAGAGAAAGACUUUUGCGUCAUUGUUUUAGGUUGGGUUCCUUGCCUUGUGAUUGUUGUUUGUUUAGGCUUUUGAAAUUUUAUGAUUAUAUAAUGGGCAUCCCUUUACUAUCAUCUACUAUUAGCCCACGCAAUGUCUUGGGCUCCCUUCAAAAUAAAAAGUGCACUUCCUUUCCUUUAAAACCACCCUUUUCAGACUAGACCAAUAACUAUGUUUGGCCUACACUACACCUUAGUGUCACAAGUUGAUCCAAAUGAGCCUCCCCAUGGCCUUAUAUAGAGCUAGGAAGCUUCUGGAGACUCCCAGAGUGGGAAGAGUGUGGAAGGUUCUAGAGAAGUCUGGAGGAAUCCACACAAUUCUACACCAUGGUAGAAGGCACGAGAGGAGUCCGGGGCUUUCUAGAGAAAUCUAGAAGACUCUUGUAUAUACUUGUAUAUAGGCUUGUACCUAGAAUGAUGUAGGACAUUCUAGAAUAGUCUUGAGUUGUAAGGAACCCUCCAAGGUUCUAGAGAGUUCCAUUGGUGCCUAUAAAUAGGUGAGGGUCUCAUUUGGUCAAGGCACCAAGCAAGUGAGCUUCCAAGCACUUGUAAAAGCUUCUUUGAGUAAUAAAGAGCUUCCAUUCUUUAAGGAGUUGCCCACUAAGCCUCUUAAGCUUUCGAGUCACGAGUGUCUUAGCCGAGCAAGCUAAGCAUUGGGGAUCAAGGCUGACUUAGCAAGAUCAAGUGUCUUGACUUGCCUAAGUGCCGCACGAGCUUAGUGAACGACUAAGUCCGUGACAUUAGGCUCCUAUUAGUGAAAAAGGCCUCCUUCCUUACCCUUAACUUCUCUUUUUCUACUCGCCUAAACUUGAGAAAUUAGCCAACUUAGAGUUUGGAUAGGAAUUGGUCUGAUUUGAUCUUUGAUGGAUUGAAAAAUAUAAAUUUUGAAUUUGAAAUAAUGUGGUAUGAAGUAUAACUGUCCACCACUAGCUCCUUUCUAUUACUACGUGACCUAUAAGGCUAUAAUGUUGAGUCAUCUCAACCCUUCUACUCCAAUCCUAUCCUUAAUUUUUUUUUUUUUUUUUUGAUAAGCAAACAGAGAAUCUAUUAAAGAGUGCCGGUGAAAGGGAGUGCGCAACCUAUGCGUACAAGAUCUACUCCUAUCCUUAAUGAUUCCCACACCUUACUAAGUCACAUUGGCUUCUACCCAGAGUUAACCUAAGGAUAACUCAUUGACCAUUUUCAUCUUCUUCAACUAAUGAUACUGUUGUUGUGAAAACCCAAGCCCAAUUUGAGAUUUUUAGUGUCGUCAAAAUCAUUGUGUGCUCCUUUACCUUAAUUUUUAGAUGAAUCUUGGAAAGAUCGUGUUGAAAUUCGGCAUUCAAAGUUAGAGUUUUAAUUUAGGAAAGUAUUUUAGGAAUAAAAAAAGGGAGAGAUCAUUUAGGAUAUUUCCUUAGGAUUCAGUUUCCUAUUUUUUAGGAGAGAAUCAAGCUAGAUAGAUAUUUUCUUAUUCAGUCAUUUGUAUAUAUAUAUAUGUGUAUGGUGUGUACCGAAAUAAUAAUAAUAAAGGAGUUCAGAAAUUCUUCAUGGUAUCAGAGCCAGUUUUUCUGAAACUCUAAUCUCUUCUAGCCAUCUCUUAUUCAGGCCAUCAUUCAUUCCAGCCACACCUCUUUGGCCAUUUCUCAAUCCGGCUAUCUCUCUCUCUGGCCAUCACUCAUUCCGGCCAAGUCUCUCUGGCCAUCUCUCAAUCCUACCAUCUCUCUCUCUGGCCAUCUCUCAUUCCGGCCAUCAGUCCCUGUUUUCAGGCCGAUAUCUCUGGUUUUCUCCUCUUCCCUAUUUCCAACAACCAUAUUCGGCUGUCUUCUUCAUCUCCAUGACAAAAUACGGAAUGACAUCAUCACAAAUAUCCAGCGUCACGACACCAGAAUUAGGGGGCAGUUAUGAAAUUCCAAACCUUGGUGGCAGUGAUUCCUCUCCUAUUCUCAUCACAGGACACAAAUUAAAUGGCCAUAACUAUUUACAGUGGUCACAAUCUGUGUUGCUGUUCAUUUGCGGUAAAGGACAGGAUGAGUACCUCACUGGAGAAGCAGCCAUGCCAGAAACUAUAGAACUUGGUUUCAGGAAGUGGAAGAUUGAAAACAACAUGAUCAUGUCAUGGCUUAUCAAUUCCAUGAACAAUGACAUAGGUGAAAAUUUCUUGCCGUUUAGGACUGCAAAGGACAUAUGGGAUGCAGCCAAAGAAACUUACUCAAGUUCUGAAAAUACUUCAGAACUUUUUCAGAUUGAAUCAACCCUACAUGACUUCCGCCAAGGAGAGCAGUCAGUUACUCAGUAUUACAACACACUCACAAGGUAUUGGCAGCAACUUAACUUAUUCGAGACUCAGUCAUGGAAAUGUUCAGAUGAUGCAGCAACAUACAGGCAGAUUGUGGAACAAAAGAGAUUGUUCAAGUUUUUUCUAGGACUAAACAGGGAAUUGGAUGAUGUUAGAGGCCGAAUCAUGGGCAUUAAACCCCUGCCAAGUCUCAGGGAGGCUUUUUCAGAGGUUAGGCGUGAAGAAAGUAAAAAGAAAGUGAUGAUGGGAUCCAAAGAGCAACCUACCCCAACAUUGGAUGUCUUUGCCCUUGCUGCUUAGUCAUUUAAUAGUAGUGGUGGAGAUCGUCAGAAAUGUGAUAGGCCUUGGUGUGAUUAUUGUAAGAAAAUAGGCCAUUAUAAGGAGGCUUGUUGGAAGCUUCAUGGCAAACCGGCUGAUUGGAAACCAAAGCCACGGUUUGACAGAGAUAGCAGAACACACGUGGCUGCCAACUCUGAGAGCACAUCUGUUCCCGAGCCGAGUCCAUUCAACAAAGAGUAGAUGGAGAUGCUACAGAAACUAUUAAGCCAAGUUGGCAGUGGCAGUACUACCGAGACAACCUUCACUGCUAAUCGAGGAGGAAUGAAGCCGUGGAUAGUGGACACAAGUGCUUCUGAUCACAUGACAGGAGAUGUUGCCAUUCUUCAAAAUUACAAGCCAAGUAAUGGUCAUUCAUUCGUCCAUAUUGCUGAUGGUUCAAAGUCAAAAAUUGCCGGGACAGGUUCCAUAAAACUUACUAAAGAAUUGUAUCUUGACUCUGUCCUCCAUGUUCCAAACUUGGAUUGUAAUCUUUUGUCCAUUAGCAAAUUGGCCCGUGAUCUCCAAUGUGUUACUAAAUUUUAUCCAAACUCGUGUGUUUUUCAGGACUUGAAAUCGGGGAAGAUGAUUGGCAGUGCUGAACUGUGUUCCGGGCNNNNNNNNNNNNNNNNNNNNNNNNNNNNNNNNNNNNNNNNNNNNNNNNNNNNNNNNNNNNNNNNNNNNNNNNNNNNNNNNNNNNNNNNNNNNNNNNNNNNNNNNNNNNNNNNNNNNNNNNNNNNNNNNNNNNNNNNNNNNNNNNNNNNNNNNNNNNNNNNNNNNNNNNNNNNNNNNNNNNNNNNNNNNNNNNNNNNNNNNNNNNNNNNNNNNNNNNNNNNNNNNNNNNNNNNNNNNNNNNNNNNNNNNNNNNNNNNNNNNNNNNNNNNNACAUCAGGAGGAGGAAAAGACAAGAGUUGGAGCACAGAUCACAGCCAACAUGUGGCCAAUAUAUUGACUCCAUUUCAAGUCUACCUGAAGAGAACAUAGGUGAGGAUAGGGCUGGAGAGGUGUCAAUUCCCAGCAUUGAUGAUUCUACUCUGCCGAUUGCAUUGAGGAAGGGUGUUAGGAGAUGUACAGAUCAUCCAAUUGGGAAUUAUGUUACGUAUGAAGGGCUAUCACCAUCUUACAGAGCAUUUGCUACUUCUCUUGAUGAUACUCAGGUUCCCAACACAAUACAAGAGGCAUUCAAAAUUUCAGAAUGGAAGAAGGCAGUACAAGAUGAGAUUGAUGCACUUGAGAAGAAUGGGACAUGGACUAUCACAGAUUUGCCGAUUGGGAAGAGGCCCGUGGGGUGCAAGUGGAUUUUCACCAUAAAAUACAAACCAGAUGGAUCAGUCGAGAGAUUCAAGGCUCGUUUGGUAGCUAGAGGGUUUACACAAUCCUAUGGGAUAGACUAUCAGGAGACUUUUGCUCUUGUUGCAAAACUGAACACUAUCAGGAUUCUUCUCUCAUUGGCUGUCAAUCAAGAUUGGUGCUUGCAACAACUGGACAUAAAAAAUGCGUAUCUAAAUGGUGACCUAGAAGAGGAAGUCUACAUGGAAAUACCACCUGGUUUCGAAGGAAGUAUGGCAAAGAAUCAGGUUUGCAAACUCCAAAAAUCCUUGUACGGCCUUAAACAAUCUCCCCGAGCCUGGUUUGAUAGAUUCACAAAGGCAGUCUUGAAGCUGGGCUACAAACAAGAUCAGGCUGAUCAUACUCUAUUUGUCAAGAAGUCUCAUGCUGGGAAAAUGGCCAUAUUGAUAGUCUAUGUCGAUGAUAUUAUUCUAUCUGGGAAUGAUAUGGAGGAAUUACAGAAGUUGAAGAAGUAUUUGUCAGAAGAGUUUGAAGUUAAAGACCUUGGAAAUUUGAAAUAUUUCCUUGGUAUGGAAGUGGCUAGAUCAAGGAAGGGAAUUGUAGUCUCUCAAAGAAAAUACAUACUCGACCUUCUUAAGGAGACCGGUAUGCUUGGAUGCAAACCAAUUGAUACUCCUAUGGAUAGUCAGAAGAAACUUGGUAUCGAGAAAGAAAGUACACCGGUAGACAGGGGGAGAUAUCAGCGACUCGUUAGGCGCUUGAUUUAUCUCUCACACACUCGACCAGAUAUUGGCUUUGCAGUGAGUGCUGUAAGUCAAUUCAUGCACAACCCCACUGAGGAACACAUGAAAGCAGUUUACAGGAUUCUUAGAUAUUUAAAAAUGACACCAGGGAAAGGUCUAUUCUUCAGAAAGAUAGAGAAUCGUGACACUAAAGUAUACUCAGAUGCGGAUUGGGCAGGAAACAUCAUUGACAGGCGGUCCACUUCUGGAUACUGUUCUUUUGUCUGGGGAAAUCUUGUUACCUUGAGGAGUAAGAAGCAAUUAGUUGUAGCCAGAAGUAGUGCAGAAGCUGAGUACAAAGCUCUAGCACAGGGAAUCUGUGAAGGGAUUUGGAUAAAAAGGGUUCUUAGUGAACUGGGACAAACGAGUUCAUCUCUGAUUCUGAUGAUGUGUGAUAAUCAAGCAGCUAUAAGCAUAGCAAAGAAUCCCGUGCAUCAUGACAAGACCAAGCACGUUGAGAUUGACAGACACUUCAUCAUAGAGAAGGUGACUAGUGAGACAAUUAAAUUGAACUACGUUCCUACCAAGCACCAAACCGCAGACAUCCUCACCAAAGCUUUACCUAGGCCUAACUUCGAAGACUUAACUUUCAAGCUGGGAUUAUAUGAUAUAUAUUCUCCAGCUUGAGGGGGAGUGUUGAAAUUUGGCAUUCAAAGUUAGGAUUUUAAUUUAGGAAAGUAUUUUAGGAAUAAAAAAAGGGAGAGAUCAUUUAGGAUAUUUCCUUAGGAUUCAGUUUCCUAUUUUUUAGGAGAGAAUCAAGCUAAAUAGAUAUUUUCUUAUUCAGUCAUUUGUGUAUAUAUAUGUGUAUGGUGUGUACUGAAAUAAUAAUAAUAAAGGAGUUCAGAAAUUCUUCAGAUCGAUUAACUUUGAUGUGUGCCUAUCGAUUUCAAAGACCCUUUCAACACUCAUUUGUCGGUUGCAAUAGGUGCUUCUUAAUCCACAUGUCAAAAGACACUCUUUUUCAACUCAAUGCACCCCUUUUAGAAUGUACCUAGAAUCUUUGUAUUUACCCUUGGUGACUUCUUGUACACUUGAACCAUUACCGCUUCGUAUGCAUAGAUGAACCUCUUUUGAUGGAGAUAUUUUGCUUUAUCUAUGGAAUCAACAAAGAAAACCUCUUUACCACCAGAUUGCGCAUUUUCAUGUUUAAAAAAAAGAGAGGGGUUGUAAAAAAUGCAAGAGAGAGAGAGAGAGCGAGAGAGGGCGAGAGAGAGUGCGAUGGUGAGGAGGGGGAGGAGAGCUCGGCGUCGCGGAGCAGAAGGAAGGAGUGCAGUUUCACAGUGGAAUCCAAGGCGUUCGAGAUUGUUGUGGAGGAUAGAAGAGGAAAAAUCCAAGGCCUCAUUGUGGAGAAGAAGGGAGGGGUCUCGUCAUGGGUCCGAUUGGGAUCGGAUAGCCUAGGGUUUUUCUUGGAAGGGUUGAAUCUCUGUAUCAAGGAUGAGAAAGAAGACAGAUGGGAAGGGAAUGGAAGGAGCAGGGGAGACUGUAUUCUAUGACUCGAGGGACAAACAGAGCGGGGGGGUUUAUACGGCUAGGGGUCUCCGAUAUAGAGGGGAAGAGGUACCACAUCUUCAUCCUGAGAGGCAGUAGGGAUAAGAGGGGGUGGAUGACCAUGGCGGAGAAGCUUAACCAGAUGGUAGGGUUUCUUGGCAAAAACCCAGAAAACCAGAAAGGAAAGGCUGUGGAGAAGGCUGUUGUGGGAAGAUCGUAUGCAGCAAUGGUGACAAGAACACUGUCGGGUAACCCAAAUGUCAUUGCAGUGAAGGUGAAAAAGGAGGAAUCAAUAGGAUUAUUACAGAAAUUAAAUCAUUGUGUUGUGGCGAGUUGGAGAGAUAAGUCAAGGGAAGAAGAUGAUCUUGAGAAGUUGGGGCAAUUCUGGGCAAAGUCUUGGGACCUUAAGGGUAGCUUAGGGCUGGCUAAACUGGACAAGGGAAGAGCGCUGCUGAAAGUUGAAAAUUUGGAGGAGGCUAGACGAGUCAUUUCCUCUGGGAGUCGCGCGAUGGAAGGAACCCAGGUAAGGCUGGAGCACUGGAGCCCUAGGAGUGGAUGUUGGGCAGAGGAGGAAGAGAGAAAGGAAGUUUGGGUAAGGAUAGUUGGGCUCCCAAUCUCGUUAUGGAGUCCAGAGAUAUUGAAGAGAGUGGGGGAUGAAUGUGGCGGUUUUAUCACAGUCGAUGAACAGACGAAAUCGAUGGGUGAACUCCAAUGGGCCAGAAUCUUGGUGAGAUUGAGAGGAGAAUUUAGACCGAGCAUGCUGGAAAUCGAAGUGGAGGAGGAGAUUUGCGCAGUGUCCUUAUGGUGGGAAUGCUGGCCGGUGUUGAGGAGGAAGCGCAGAAACGAAGCCGGUCAUCGUAGCAGUGAGGUUAGGGGUGAGGAGGUCUCACGCGCGGGGCAGCAAGUGAUGAAGGAAUGGGUGAGCGUGAGGCUCGAGACGUUGAACCCGUUAGACGAAGGGACGGACGUGCAGGGGGUUGGGUCGGGUCGGGUUGAGGUUAGUACAGACCUAAGCUCGACAACCCGGACUUGGGCUUUAACUGGCGAACUAAAUCCUUUAAGUCCAAUCGCGGGCCCAAAGGAGACAAGGAGGGUUGGUGGGCUUGGCCUGAUGAGCGGGUCCAUGGACUUGAAGAAGAAAGGAGUGGCUACAAGUGAUUUUGAACCAAACGUAGGCCCAUCGUAUAGAAUGGAAGAUGUGGGCUGCUAUACUAAAGGCCCAGCUCCGCCUAUAGCCUGAUCAUCAAUCGAAGACCCAAGUUGCUCAAAGGCCUGCACCCAACAGCCCGAUCCAAGUGGAAAACUAAGGGAGGGCCCAAAAUCAUCAGUAGCCCAAGAGGAGACGGGCUUUCUGUUGAAGUGUCUCGCCUCCAGUUAUCCUCCAGAAUCAGAGACUUUUGUUGCGAGGGAGUCUGAGGACACAAGGAAGCUACAAGGAGUGGUUAGGCUGACAGAGACAGAUAGGGCGCUUGAAGAGGAAUCAAUGAGGUAUGGAAUGGGGUCUGGUUCUUGGGGGAAAAGGGCAUUGGGGGAUUCUCAUCUCAAUUCUUUUCUUUUUGAUCGGACUCCNNNNNNNNNNNNNNNNNNNNNNNNNNNNNNNNNNNNNNNNNNNNNNNNNNNNNNNNNNNNNNNNNNNNNNNNNNNNNNNNNNNNNNNNNNNNNNNNNNNNUUUUUUUUUUGUUGGGUCGGGGGGGGGGGGGGGGGGGGGGGGAGUUUUACGAUCAUUCUGGGGAUUUGGAUGAGGAAGUUCGGGCUGAUAACUCAAUGUGGUUAACAGUGUAUGAGGCUUGUAAUGAAAGGAUUACUGAACGUAAGGAACUGGGAGUAAUCAAAAGUAGUAGUGACAAAGGCAGGGGGAAGGAAGGGGUUGGUGACAUAUAUGAUGCUCAAGUUGAGAGAAGUGAGCCGGAGGGUAAAUGGGAAGAGAGUGGCUUGGUGAGGUUCAACCAGUUCCUGGGCUUCCCUACGGAGGGGCUGGAGAAGGAAAUAUUGAAUUUUUUGACCAAGAUUAGAAAAAGACGGGAGAAAAUUCAUAGCAAAGAGCUACUGGAAAAGUCUAAGUUUGAAAGGGAGCUAAAAAGACUGGAAUGUUCCAUAAACUAUGAGGGGGGGAUGAAACAGAAAGGCUCGAUAUAGGGCAAAGGGCGCCAAAUUGUGAUUGUCCAAUGAAGGUGAAAAUUUUGAGUUGGAACGUGAAGGGAGCAAAUGAUAGCUCCAAAAGAAAAGUGAGUAAGACGUUCAUAAGAAAUCAGAGGGUGGACUUAAUUUGUAUUCAGGAGACAAAAAUGCAGUUUAUGACGGAUAGCAUUGCGAGAAGUAUAGGCUUCGGAAGAUUCCUAGGUUGGAAAGCUGUGAAUGUGGAGGGAGCUUCGGGAGGAAUUUUUAUAUGCUGGGAUAGAAGGUCUUUGGAAAUCCUAGAUUGGGAGGAGGGACUGUUUACUCUAUCUUGCAGAUUCCGGAAUGUAGAAAAUGGGGUUGUCUGGGUUUUUACGGGAGUGUAUGACCCUUUCUCUAAAGUAGAAAGGGAUGCAUUAUGGGAAGAGUUUGGGGCGAUUAGAGGGCUGUGGGAAGACCCUUGGUGCAUAGGGGGGAUUUUAAUAUCACUUUGUUUUCGAGGGAAAGGAGUAGCCAGAGGAGAAUUAACUCAGCAAUGAGAAAAUUUGCUGAAACUGUGAAUGAUCUUGGGCUGGUGGAUCUUCCUCUUCAGGGGGGAGAUUUUACUUGGAAUGGGGACCAAAAUAAUCAGACUUGGGCAUGUCUGGACAAGUUCCUUGUGUCUCUUAGUUGGAUAGACCAAUUCAGUGGGAUUAAUCAGUGCAAGCUGCCCCGUCCGGUAUUCGAUCAUUUCCCAAUUAUGUUAGCGGGGGAUGGGAUAAGACGAGGCCCGACUCCAUUCAGAUUUGAAAACAUGUGGCUUAAGGCUGAGGGCUUCAUAGAGCUUGUAUGCAGCUGGUGGCAAGGAAUUAAUGUUAGGGGCAGUGCUAGUUACAAGUUGGCUACUAAGAUGAAGGAAAUCAAACAGAAGCUGAAAGUUUGGAAUAGAGAAGUCUUUGGUAAGCUAGAGUGCAACAAAUCUACAGCCUUGCAACAGGUGGAAUUCUGGGAUAGGGAGGAAAAUGAAAGAAUUUUGACUGUGGAGGAAUCAGAGCUUAAGAAAGAGGCAAAAGAAAAUUACAGAAAAUGGGUGAUUAUGGAGGAAACUCAUUGGAGACAGCUCUCAAGGGAAAUAUGGCUGAAGGAGGGGGAUAGAAACACGGGUUUCUUUCAUCGCAUGGCAAGUGCUCACCGUAGAAAUAAUUUUUUGGAGAGAAUUAAGAUCAAUGGGGAAUGGUUUCUAGAGGAGCAGGAAAUUAGGGAAGGAAUUGCUAAUGCGUUUAAAAAUUUACUCUCAGAAGAUACGGGGUGGAAGGUGGAUAUUGGGAGUCUUUAGCUUGAUCAGAUCAGCCAACAAGAGGCUGUGAUUUUGGAGAGGCCCUUUACAGAGGAUGAAAUCCAUGUGACUUUGAUGGAGAUGAAUGGGUAUAAAGCCCUUGGCCCGGAUGGCUUUACUCUGGCUUUUUGGCAAAGUUGUUGGGUGUUUAUUAAAGAGAAGAUUCUAGAAAUGUUCAAGGAAUUCUACGAACAUAGCUCUUUCCUCAAGAGCCUUAACAAUACUUUCUUGGUAUUGAUCCCCAAGAAAAGUGGGGCUGAGGACCUUGGAGAAUUUAGACCUAUUAGUCUCCUAGGGGGGCUUUACAAGUUAUUGGCUAAAGUGCUGGCUAACAGAUUGAAGAUAGUGGUUGGAAAGGUGGUCUCUACUUCUCAGAAUGCCUUUGUGAGGGGAAGACAAAUUCUUGACGCUUCCUUAAUUGCAAAUGAAGUGAUAGACUCGUGGCAGAAACGAAAAGAAAAGGGCCUUAUAUGCAAACUGGAUAUAGAAAAAGCUUAUGACAGUAUCAAUUGGAAGUUUUUGUUGAAGGUGUUGCAGAAAAUGGGUUUUGGGCCUAAGUGGGUGGGGUGGAUGUCGAGCUGCCUAUCUUCAGCUAAAUUUUCAGUGUUGGUUAAUGGAGUGCCUGCAGGCUUCUUUCCUAGCUCUAAAGUUCUUAGACAAGGAGAUCCCCUGUCUCCUUAUCUCUUUGUUAUGGGAAUGGAAGUGCUAGAUGUUCUUAUUAGGAGAGCUAUGGAGGGGGGUUUCUUAUCAAGGUGUAACAUAAGGGGUGGUAGUGAACCUCCUUUGAACAUCUCUCACUUGUUUUUUGCUAACGACACCAUUAUUUUCUGUGAGGCUAGAAAGGAUCAUCUAACUCAUUUAAGUUGGAUUUUAUUCUGGUUUAAAGCGGCGUCAGGCCUAAGGAUUAAUUUAGCCAAGAGUGUAAUCAUUCCAGUUGGAGAGGUGGUGGAGAUGGAGGAGUUGGCUGUUGAGCUAGGUUGCAAGGUGGGGUCCUUACCUUCUCAGUACUUGGGUCUUCCUUUAGGGGCUCUCAAUAGAGCGCCUUAUAUGUGGGAUGGGGUGAAAGAGAGAGUCAGGAGGAGACUAGCCCUUUGGAAAUGACAAUAUAUUUCUAAAGGGGGAAGAGUCACUUUAAUAAAAAGUACUUUGUCUAGCAUGCCAAUCUACCAAAUGUCUAUCUUCAGAAUGCCCAAGAUUGUUGCUAGAAGACUUGAGAAAGUGCAAAGGGACUUUUUGUGGGGAGGGGGAAAUAUGGAGGGGAAAACUCACUUGGUAAAUUGGGAGGUGGUAUGUACAGACAAGGAUAAAGGUGGGCUAGGCCUUAGGAAGCUAGCUAUGUUGAACAAAGCUUUACUUGGAAAGUGGAUAUGGAGGUUUGCUUGUGACAAAGAUAAUCUUUGGAAACAAGUGAUCAAGGUGAAGUAUGGGCAGGAGGACUUUGGUUGGAGGCCAAAGAAGGCUACCGGGGCGGUGGGAGUAGGGGUUUGGAAGGAGAUUUGGAAAAAAUCAGAAUGGUGUUGGGAUAACAUGACUUUCGGAGUAGGGAAGGGCAACACGAUCAGACUUUGGACAGAUGUGUGGUGUUCAGAGUCAACGCUGUCCCAUUGUUUUCCUCAUCUCUUUGGUAUGGCGGUUCAAAGGAACUCAACGGUUGAGGAAAUGUGGGAUCAAAAUUCGGGUCAAGGAAAUUGGAAUCUAAAUUUUUUGAGGGAUUUCAAUGAUUGGGAGUUGGAGUUGGUUGGGGAUUUUCUACACAUAUUGAGGGGUCUCAAACCCUCUUGGGAGGAAGAUUCAGUCCUGUGGAGGAAAGGAAGAAGUGGUCAAUUCAGGGUCAAGGAAGCUUAUAAUUUGUUGGUGAGGUCUAAUGAUACAAACUUUCCAUCAAGAAGCAUUUGGGUGGCAAGGGUGCCAACUAAAGUUGCUUUUUUCGCGUGGGAGGCGACGUGGGGGAGGGUGCUUACCUUGGAUAGACUUCAAAGAAGAGGACUACAACUUCCAAAUCGCUGCUUCCUGUGUGGUUGUGAGGAAGAAAGUGUAAAUCAUAUCCUUAUACAUUGUACAGUGGUUAGAGCUCUAUGGGAUAUAGUGUUUGGUUUAGUUGAUGUGAAAUGGGUUUUUCCAGAAACUGUAAAGGAGGUUUUAGUUAGCUGGAGGGGUCCGUUUGUGGGAAAGAAAAGGAAAAAGAUUUGGGACGCCAUUCCGUUGUGUAUUUUUUGGACGGUGUGGAAGGAGGGGAAUAGAUUAGCUUUUAGGGGGGGAGGGGUGUGUUGAACGUUCAGAAGCUAAAGAAUUUUUUUGUUUGUAAUCUGUGGAGUUGGGCCAAAUUGUAUGUAGGUGAGGAGGCGUUCUCCCUUAUAGGCUUCCUAGAGUGGAUAACUUCCACUUAAAGGGAGGUGAUUUUUUUGUUGUUGAUUUUUGAGGCCUUAGUUGCCUUGUAUACCUUGUGGCGUUGUGCCUUUUGAAUGCAUAUCCUUUACUUAUCAAAAAAAAAAAAAAAACCUCUUUACCACCAGGGAAAGAGGGAGAUAAAGACUACUCCUUUCAUCCCCAAAUGCUUGGCCAAAGCUCUGCCUAUUUUAAUCUUGCUCAUGUCUACUUCUGGGUUUUAGUAGACCAUUGCCCUAACCCAUCUCCCCACUAGCAUAGAACCUUCUCUUCUUAGCACUUUCUUAGCCAUGGCAUUCGCAUAAUAGAGCUUCACCAAAUGAAAGUCUAUUCUCUCCUUGACAAUUUUUGCUUACUAGUUUUUGCUACUUGUGUUCCCUUGAAGACCAUUGGUUGAGAUGGAAACAAAUUCAAAGACGAUAUGGAUUCUCUUAGUAUUUCUCACUCGUUGCUAUUUAAACCUUUUUAUAGAAUCACCUGAAAGGUUGUUUUUCGGUUUGUCACAAACUUUAAGCUUUUCAAGAAUUUGUCAUUAAUGUUCAUCUUUACCUCCAAAAGGUGCACUCUAGUGUUAACCUUAAAAUUUGUGACUAAAUCCUAGGAACCUGUCCAUCUCUAUAGCCUUCUUCAAAUAGUCCAAAAUCCAAUCAAUCUCUUCUUUCUCAAAUCCUAGGGUAAAGGAAGCUCCUUGAGUUUGCUUUGUGAUAGAAAUCCAUGGCCCUCCAUUCUUUCCUUCAAACCUUAACUCAAACGUCUCUAUCUCCAUUGAGUAAAUUCUUCUCUAGCUGUUGUCUUGCUUCAUUUUCUUUCUUUGUUUGUAUCUUACACUUUAGUUAAUUAAUCUCUCUCAAUUGUGACUAUCAAAAAUUGGUUUCUUGAUAUCACCUUGAGGAUAAGGUUGGAAUUUAAGAGAGAAGGAGUUGAUACACAUCUUUAAAUAUUCUUUACUGAUGUGUUCAUAGUUGUGAAAGGUGCGCCUAGGCUCCAUGUGGUGCGACACCAUGCUGCGGUGCCUCACCCGACUCCAAGCGUCGCCCCUUCACGAAGGCAUUGAUUAGGCGCACAAGGCGCUCGCUUCCGGCUAGCUAUGAUGUCCCAAACAAGUCUGCCUUCUUCCUCAUUCUUUUUUUUUUCCUUCUUUUGGUCUUCUUCUUCUUCUCUAGCGACUGAGUUGCAAAGGAGAACACGACAUUGCUAAGGGUUUUUUUUUUUUUUUUUAAUUUGCUAAGACCAAAAUGACUCGUUUUGGUCUUUUUCUUUUUAAAGAAUAGGGUUCAAAACAAUGUUGUUUUGGACCUGUUCUUGACUUCCAACCCCAAAUUUGCUUGUUUUGAAGCUGACAAAACCUAAAAAAAACCCCUAGCUUAGCCUCUGCCUCGUGUGCCUGUGAAGAAGAGAAGAAGACGAAGAAGAAAAGGAAAAAUAGAUGUACCUUGAAAUUUUGGAUAAUGUUUGAUGAUAUAUGUGUUUAUGACAAAUAAAUGAUUAUUAAAUUUGAUUAUAUUAUAUAAAAUUAUGUAUGUAAAAUAGGGCGUGCCUCACUUCACUAAAGCCCAUACCUUAGGUGCGCCUUGCGCCUUAGGCUCUAGGAGGACUUUGUGCCUUGGUGCAUUUUAAGCCUUUUAAAACCAUGGAUGUGUAAUUUUGAAUGGGUAAAAUUAGUUGUUGUUAGCGGGUUUUGUUGGGUUGUUUAGAUUCUAUAGGUAAUUUAUUUGGCGUUUGCCUACUUUUUAGGAAUAAGUUGUAGUUGCUAAUUUUAUUUAAAGCUGAUGAAUAAGAGGAGGGGGACACUCUAAUUUCCAACUUUUAUUUUUAUUUGGAUGUAUAAGGUUCCUUCAAAUGAAGUUGCUAUCUUAAUUAUAUUUUAGUUAUCUUCCCAAGAUAGGCAGAUGCAAGUAGACUAUAUUUCAAUUGGCUAUACUAAAUUCAUUCUUAGAAUUUUAAAAUAAAUAAAUAAAGGUUUUGAAUAUAGCAACAAGAAAAGAAAGAAAGAAAAAAAGAACGAAGAAAAAAUCAAUUAAAGUUUAUUUAUUUCUAAGGUUUCUCCGCAACCUACUCUUUCCUAAACAUAUGGUCAACCAUCUACAUACUUGCAUGGAAAUAACCUUAAUUAGUUGGUCAUGCUAGUGAUCAACAUUUAUUCUACUAAUUAGUGCAAAUUCUAACACUCAUUCUCAAGCUAGUUUGAAGAUAUUAUGCAUUCCUAGUUUGGUUGCAAUGAAGUUGAAUGUGACACUUGGAACUCUUGGUGAAAAUAUUGUUAGUUGUUGUUUGGCUGUCAUGAAAGGGGUACAAAUCUAACUGUUGUUGAUUUAUCCAUCUCAACAUGCUUUGUUCUAUCAUGUUGCUCUAUAUUGUGUGCAUUACUUAUUACAACUUUCUUGUUAAAGUAAAUCUUCAUAAUUUCUUUAGAAUCCAUUCUUUGUUCCUUAAGCAAGAUCCUAAUCUACAAUAAUUCACAAAUUCCUUAAGCUAUUGCUCAAAACUCAGCUUUUGCACUUGAUUUAACCAUAACAAGUUGCCUUUUACUUUUCCAGUGACUAGGUUUUCUCUCGGAAAUGUAUAGUAGCGCGAUGUUGAUUUUCUAUCUGUAAUGGACCUUUUCUUUACCAAGAGUUGACUUUAGGUAUCUCAAGAUUCUUUGAAUUGCAUCCAUGUAACAUUCUAAAGGUGAGUGCAUGAGUUUGGCUAACCAUGCUGAUAGCAUAGGCUAUAUCAUGCCUUAUUUGAAAUUGGUAGAUCAAUUUUCCAACAAGUCUUUGAUGUCUUCCUUUAACACUAAAAUUCCUUUUGUGAUUAAUGUAUUAGUAGGUUUAAUAAUCGUCUCAUUGAGUAGAUCUAGGAUAUACUUCUUUUGUGAGACGAAGAUUUCUUUACUUGAUCUGGUCGCUUAGAUCCUAAAAAAAUGUCUCAAGCUUGCUUUUUUUUUUUUUUUGUUUUAGAUUUUCCAUCUUCUCCUUAUCAUCGCUUGUGACAAUUAUAUUAUCUACAUGAAUAAUUUGUAUUGUGAUAUUCAUGUGUGUGGUAUGUUUAAUGAGCAAGGUAUGACUCCAUUGACUUUGACAAACCAACAUUUAAGUAAGGACUUGGUGAACUUCUCGAACCAUGUUCUAGGAGAUUGCUUCAACCUAUAUUGAUUUUUCCAAUCUACACACUUUCCUUUGAUUAAAAUGGUUCUCAAAUCCAGGUGGUAGGUUUAUGCAAACCUCUUCAUCCAAUUUUCCAUGUAGAAAAACAUUUUUUACAUCAAAUUAUUGUAAGGGCUAAACUAGAUUAGCUAUCUCGGUUAAUAGGACUCUAAUGGAGUUCAUCAUAGUGAUAAGGACAAAGAUUUCUUGAUAAAUAAUCCCAUAGGUCUUUGUGUGCCCCUUAGUCAGUAAUCUAGCCUUGCACCUCUCAUUUAACUCAUCCACCUUAUUUUUGAUGGUGAAAACCCACUUGCCCCCAUACUAGUCUUUUUCCUUGGGGUAAUUCAACCACUUCCUAAGUUUUAUUCUUAUGGAAUGUUCUCAUUUAAUGGCUUCCCUCCACUUUGGAUUGUUUAAAGCCUCUUUUACAUUUUUAGGAACAAAUUUUAUGGAGAAUUUAGUGGUGAAUGUCUUGUUGUUGGGGCUAGUUGAUGUAAAGAUAAAAAAUUUGAAAGGGGAUGUUUUUGUACAAGCUCUAACACAUUUCUAAUGAUAAUUGGAAUAUUCAAAUUUGUGUAAAAUAGAGGUGCAUAAAGAAGAAUGUUAGGAAUAUCUAUGUUUAGAGUUCAAGAUUGACUGCACGAGAGAGAAAUGGGAUAUUUGAUGUUGUCCUGCUUCCUCGAAUAGAUUAAAGAUCAAGUCCAUUUUCUGCUCUUUUUGCAUUAUUCCUGUCCACUGCAUUACACCGUCUGGUUUACCCUUUUUUUCCCUCAUUCUCCCUUGUGCAUCAUUAACUCUCUCUUUCACUGCAUCACUGAUCUGGUUGUUAGACAGAAAAUGAGGUGAUAAGAUCAUGUAAGGGAAGAUUAGGUGAUGGAUGGAUAGAAGAAGAAGGAAUAGGCAUGUAGAAAUGUAGGCAUUAAGGAAAAUAAAUUUUUAUUAACCUUCUUUUCUGAAUAAUACAUGAAGGAUACAAUACAAGUUUAUAUAGAGACCCCUCUAGCUAGAAAAUAGGAACUUCCCUAAAAAAUAGAGACUCCUCUAGCUAGAAAUAGGAACUUCCCUAAAAAAUGGUCUAUGAAGUCCCUUGGUUAGGAUGUCAGCCAGUUGCUGUGUAGUUAGAACAAAUGGCGUGCAUAUAAGACUGGGUUGAAGUUUUUCCUUUAUGAAAUGUCUAUCAAUCUCCACAUGUUUAGUCCUAUUAUGCUGAACUGGAUUAUGUGUAAUACUGCUUGCAACUUUAUUAUUGCAAUAAAGCUUCAAAGGGUAGAUUGUUGGUUGUCUUAACUCUUUUAGGACAUGCUUAAGCCACAUCACAAACCCCAUAUGCCAUCGCUCUAAAUUUUGCCUCCACAUUACUCUUAGCUACUAAACUUUGUUUUUUACUCCUCCAAGUAACCAAAUUUAUCCAAAUAAAUGUGCAAUGCCCUGAGGUCGAUCUCUUAUCAGCUACUGAACCAGCUUAGUCUGCAUCCAUGUGUACUUCAACUCUCCACUGCUUAUUCUUCUUAAAAAAUAGCCCUUUUUGUGGUGUAUUCUUCAAGUACCUUAAAAUUCUAUAAACUGCUUCGAGAUGCACUUCAAAAGGUGAAUGCAUAUAUUGACUUACCAUACUAACUACAAAGGCAAUAUCCAGUCAAGUGUGAGAUAAGUAAUAUUGGAAGAUUAUUAAGAUCAUUAAGAGACUCUACAUGUUUAAUAUUGGAAGAAGAAUAUGGUUUAGAUGGAGGCUUACCUUUCUCAAGGGGUGUGAUUAUAUCUGUUCUUGGGACAGAUUCAUGGCCUUACUAUAAAGUAGGUUCCUCCAUCCUUUUUGAAUAUGGUCUUGAGUAGACAUGACGCUCUUGAUUGUUUUUACUUGUAUUUUCAAUGAAUUCAGUAUUUUUAUGAUCCUGAUCAUGUGCUGACAUUAAGGUAGACUGUCCAAAUUUUCAAUAGCUAAAUCAUUUGUUCCCAAAGUUUGUCUACUACCUACAGACUCAUCAAACAUCGGUGGCUGUUUUUUUUGUUUUUUCUAGACAUUUUUCUUGGAAUUUUCAUGGAGUUUCUGAUUGCUGUUGAACUAACGGUGGCUGUAACAGUGGCUGGUCUAACUCAAACAACACAAUAGGAAUGAAAUCUACUCUUUUAUUCUCCCCUUGAGGAUGAUCAUGACUAAAGUAGGAUUUAGUUUCAAAAAAGGUGACAUCCAUUGUUACAAACAUUCUUUUAGUACAGGGAUCAAAGUAUUUAUACCCUUUUAGUGUUGAAGAAUAUCCAACAAAUAUGUAUUUGAAUGCUUUAGGAUCAAAUUUUCCACAGUUAUGAUUAUGGACAUGAAUGAAUGUAAUGCAAUAAAAAAUUUUCAAAGGUAAAUUCAUUGAAAUCUGUGAAGUAGGAAAACACAUGUUGAAAAAAUCAAUAGCAGUUUGAUAUUUUAAAACCUUGUUGGGCAUCCUAUUAAAAUAGCUUUGCCUUAAAGAUAUUUAGGAACUUUUGUUGAAAAGGUGAAUGAUCUAGCAACUUCUAAAAGAUGUCUAUUCUUUCUUUCUACCACUUCAUUUUGUUGAGGUGUAUCAACACAAGAACUUUCAUGUAUUAUGCCAUUUUCUGGAAAGUAGUUUUCUAACAAUUGAUUGGAGUAUUCCGUUCCAUUAUUAGUUUUAAAAUUUUGAAUAUUUGUUUAAAAUUGUGUUUUGACUGUUUUGUGAAAAGUUUUAAACAAUUAUGCUACUUUUGAUUUUUCUUUUAGCAAAUACGCCUAAGAAGGUCCCUAAACACCACUAUGUAUUACAAAAAAAGGUUUAGAGGCUUUAUAGGGUUGUGAAGGAAAAAAUGCAUGAUGAUGCUUUGCAAGUUCACAAAUUUCACAAUGGAAUGAAGAUGAAUCUUUAUUAAUAAACAACUUUGAAAAUAGAUGUUUCAAAUAUUGAAAAUUGGGAUGUCCUAACCUAAAAUGCCUUAACACUAUUUCAUUCUCACUAGAUAUUAAAACAAGUUCAAAACAAGUACUUUGGGCUUGUCUACCUAGUUUGAUUCCAUCUUCAAAGAAAUAAAGUCCUUCAUAGCAUUGCCAAUCAUCUUCCCUGAGUUCAAAUCCUAGACUUCACAUUGAGAUGAGAAAAAAUUAGCUUGAUAGUUUAAAUCAAAGGUUAAUUUACUAAUAAACAAUAAAUUUCAAGACAAAUUAGGAACAUGAAGGACAUUAUGGAGUGUAGGAAGUGAGGGAAUUUUGAUAGAUCAUUUUCCAACAAUAGUUGAAAGUGAUCCAUCUGCUAUUUUUAUUUGUUUGUUUCCUGCACAGGGACUAUAAGAAGAAAACAGAUUUGAAGAACUGGUCCUAUGAUCGGUUGCACUAGAAUCUAUGAUCCAUGGGCAAUUUGAAUCAAGGCUAAUAAGGGGUGUGGCAAGAUGAUUACCUUUUUGGGCUAAGGAACAAGAAAAGGAUCGACUUAAAGAGACCCGAGAUUGAAGAAGUUUGUACAAAUGCUCUAUUUGAUCCUUCGUAAAAGGAGAUGUUUCUAAGGACGGUUGUAGCCCUUGUUCAUCGCUUUCAACUUGGUAGGCACGACUCUCCCUGCCAUGUUUCUUCCUUUAGUUUGAUGGUUUUCUGUGAAUCUUCUAGAAGGUGUCACGAGUAUGCUAGGGUUUGUUACAGUGGUCAUACCAUGGUUUAUCAUCCUUUUUAGAAUUCCUUUUUUCUCCUUGAUCAAAUCCCUUUGUAACAAAGGCAAAACUAUCAAAUUUUGUUUUAGUCCUUGGUGACUCAAGGUUCAUCGUAACAAAUCUUCUAGCCUUCUCUCUUCUAACUUUAGAAAAACUUCUUGAAGAGAUGGAAAUCGUUUUCUCCCCAAGAUUUGACCUCUCACUUCAUCAAGGGAUUUUUUUGAUAAAGAUCCUAUGCUCUAAUACCAUGUAGGCUUUGAGGAAAAUAAAUUUUUAUUAAUCCUAUUUUCUGUAUAAUUCACGAAGGAUACAAUACAAGUUUAUAUAGAGACUCCUCGAGCUAGAAAAUAGGAACUUACCUAAAAAAUAGAGACUCCUCUGGCCAUAAAAUAGGAACUUACCUAAAAAAUAGAACAAGAAACUAACUAAAAAAAAUCCUAACUAAAUUUGAAUUUAAAAAUAAAUAUCACAACUCAUCCUUUUUCCUAAAAAUAACAACAAUAUUCCUAGAUUCUCGACAAGAAAUAUUCUUAUAUACUAAAUUUCUUCUCCUAAAGAUUAGUCUUAGAAUAGUAUGGUUGUUCUUGAAAAAAGCACACAUCCAUGGUGAGAAAUCUUUGUUUUGUAGGAGUAUAAAAGCAUUUGUAUUCCUUUUGAGUGGGAGAGUAUCAUAGGAAUAUACAUCUAAUAACACUUGCAUCAAGUUUUGUUCUUUCCCUAUAAGAAUUGCAUCUCCUUAAUAUACUUUAGGAACAUUAUGAGAGAACAUUAAAGCCUUGGCCACUUCCAAAAAAAGUCUAUUUUUCUCUUAGCCGCCCAUUUGUUAGGGUAUACCAACACAUAUAAUUAGGUGUGUGAUCCCAUUUUAAGAAAAGAUGAACUUAGGGUACCAUUUAGAUAUUCUCUCCAUUAUUAGACUUUAAAACUUGUAGUUUAGCAUAGUUUGGAUCAUUCUAUGGAAAUUUAGGGAGGUAGGGACAAUCUCAAAUUUAUCUUUGAGGAGAUAAAUUCAAGUAUCACAAGCACAAUCAUCGAUAAAACUAAUAAAACCAUUUGAAGUUACCUAAAAUUUAGGGUGGUAGGGACAAUCUCAAAUUUUGGAUGAGCAAGAUAGUUAUAAGGAGUACGAUGUCCAAAUCAGUGGGUUGUAGGAAUUGUAUUGUAUGCUGAUAUGGUACGUAAGCUGAGUAAGGAGUUCAUAUACAAGUUACCUAAAACAAAAGGUUCACCCACUUUUGAUGUUGACGUCGGUGUUGGUGUGGUUGGUUGCUUUCACUUGGUCAAAGAAGGCCAUGAAGAUGAUUGGAGAACAACUUUAAAGACAAAGAAAGGUCUCUUUAAGUGUACAAGAUUGACAGAGUUGAAAUUUUUGCAAGUCACAUGAUGGACAACUCACAAUUCUACAUUUUACAUGUAAAAUUUAUAUCAAGCAGAGUACUUUAUUGUUUGUAAUCAAUCCAUUCACAUGGGAAGAAAAAGAACAAAAUGGUGGAAGAGUUUGCUUUGGAUUUCUAUACAUCGAGGAAGUCAAUGAAACUCGAUGUUGAGUUUCUUCCUAGUUAGAGGGAAUGGUGAAGAAUUAACCCCCAGGGUUUAUUCACAACAAAAGAAAGACAUUGGUAGUUUGGUUUCAUUGUUUUAUUUAGUCUUUUUGUUAUAGUAGGAUUGAUAUUUAAUAGUUUACUUUUGUUAAGCUUUUUAUUUUAUUUUAGGUAGUGGCUGACUUUUUUGUUAAGUUUCUAUUCCUUUUAUUCUUCUUAUUAGCAUUAGGAAUGUUUCUAUUUCUUUUAAUUAGUGAAUAAUAUUCCUUUCCUAUUUUUGCAAGAAAUAUAAGAAAUUAGGAAAGUUAUCCUAUCAAGGAAGAGAGUCAUAAGAGUCUAUAUAUACCUUUGUAGUCUUUCGAAGUAAAGAGGAGAAUUUUAAUAAAAUUUCAGCAUCUAUUAUGCUUUCCUUUGAAGGUGUGACUACCUUCUUCCUAAGUGUGAUUUGCCUUGGAACCUUUUUGUGAUUGUCAAAGACUAUAUAUGUAUGUAUUCCUUUUUGUUGAUUGGUUGGGUUCUUGUUGAGGUUGUAUUAGCCCCUUCUGUUGGGUUGUUCUUUUUCCCCUUUAUGCCAUUUUGGCGGUGGUUGUAUAUGUAUUGUAUACCUUGAGUCAAUCUUUUGGUGCCUCUUCUUAUAUCUUCCUUUUUAUCUAAAAAAAAAAAAUUCCUUUUUAUAUUUUUCUGUCAUCUUUUAUUCUUUUCACCUCAUUCUAUAACUUAAGAAAUCGUAUAUUGCUUGAAAUUUUAAGAUUGUGCAAUAUGUUUGCUUGAAAUUAUAGGAUCUCAUUAUAUCAUCUCAGCCCCUUUUUAACUGCAACUUUGCACUUUUUGACAUUAGAUAUGAUUUUAUUUCAGACAAAAUCAGGCCUUCUGAUGUAGGUCUUGAACAGGAGGCACAAUGUGCACGGGUAUGGUCAGGUCCCAUGCAUCAGUGUAAUGGCAGCCAUCCAUCACUACCACCAAUCAAAUACCUGCAUUUACAUGAGUGUGACAGCUUUUCUGUAAGUAUUUGACUCUAGGUUUUCCAUUGUUAAUAGAAUUCAAUAUUUUACACCUGGUUUUCUGAACUUAGGUUAUGUUUGGUUCUAAAAACUAUGAGGUAAAGGAAAAGGAAGGGAAGAAAAAGGAAAGAAAGUGCAAGUUUAAGUCCGAUACAUUUUCCUGCAUCUUUCCCCUGCUCUAUUGACCUUUCCCUUGCUGUUUCCUCGUCCAGACAGGCCCUUAAUGUUCUGAAACUUGAAAGCUAGAUAACAGAGACUCACUGGUUUUUGAAUUUUCUUGCAGAUAGGAGUCUUUUGCAUGCCACCUUCCUCUAUUAUACCCCUUCAUAAUCAUCCUGGAAUGACUGUGUUGAGCAAGCUUCUAUAUGGUUCAUUAUAUGUAAAAUCAUAUGAUUGGCUUGAUUUUCCUGCAGCUGCUGAUCCAUCACAAGGUGUGCUUUUUUUAGCAUAUCAUAUCUCCCACUUUGAUUAUGACAAAUGGUGCUUUGAUGCUUUGAAAUGACACUCAGAACUAUGCUCUUGUUCCUUCAAAAUCAAGUAAUGCCCUGAUUCUGGAAUUUUUAUUUUUCAAGUAGGAUGUUUAUUGUUGUUGCGAAGUGAAAUUGUUUACAUGAUUGUAGGGACCUUCCUUCCUAUGUAGUGUUUGUAGGGUGUUUUAGGCUUUUGGAUUUUCUUUGUUCUUUGUUUUGUUCUUUUCUUCCUACUUAGCUUGGAAUAUGGCCUAUUCUUCAUCAUACCCUCUCUUUAUGUUAAUAAAACAUUUGUUUCCUAUCAAAGAAAAAGAUGCCAAACCACUGUAGCAGGGAUGUUCAUUCCACUGCAGUGAGUUGCUGUUAAUGCUACCAUAGCAGUGUACUGAAUGAGGAUUUUGCAUCCUUUUGUGAGUCCUUAUUAUGAACUCAAAACUAGAGGUUAUGAUUUUUUAAUUCAAGGGAUCUGAUAGAUUAUUUUGUGUUUAGUGUUCAGUGGUUUAUAAAAGCUUUGUACUCGAGUUAUUAGUUAUUUAUUUAUCUCUUUAGGUCCCAGAGGAAUUCCACUAAUUUAAUGAAUGAUCAAGGAGUAUUUUUAUCUUCAAACUGUGAAUGGAUUUGUUGAAUUUUGUUGGAAAAUUUGAUAGAAGCCUUUUAAGAUUGGGCAGCUACUCUGGUGAGGUUUAUUGAUAGGCAUGACAUGAUGAAUGAAACGAGUUUGAUUUGCUAUUAUGAACCUUACUCAUCUUGCUUAGAUUUCAUGGACGGUUGUAUGGAAUGUAUUUGAGAUGCAGGAUAAACUCUUAUUAUUAGUUUUAAAGCAAUGAAAUUAUGGAUAAAACAGAUGUAUUACAGUGACUCAGGAUGAGCUUUUUGGUUAGCAAACAACUCUUAGAUAAGGAAGCACUACAGUUGUUGCGUACAUGAACAAGGUUUAAGGAUGUAUGAAUUCUAGGUAGGGGUGUUGAUGAUCCAAGCCAAACUCUCCUCCAACCUAAGUCAGGAUUGCAAGUGUCGCUAAAUGGUAACACAUGUCUUCAAUUUUGACGAGUUGUUUCAAUUGGCUUUUGUGAUUGAGAAGAAUAUGAAGUAGAAUCUUACUAGACUGUUCUCAAGUCUGCUAGAUAAACCCGAAAAAUUUCAAUAAGGUUUGUAGAGGCUUUUAUCCUCCUCAGUGCAUGGUAACCUCCAUGCAGGCUUUAAACCUCAUUCAAUGGAUGACAUCAACACCUAAUGGAUUUUUGAAGGGAAAAGAGGGAUGGCCUUUGCAAGUGUUGAGAGGACCAUAUGCAUGUUAGUACUAAACCACUGGGGGUACCUGAUUUAGACAAUGAUAAUUUGUAGUGAAUAUCUAAGUGUGUGCUCUUUGAUGUUGAUGUUGUCUAAAAUUGGGAGGUAGAUGCCACUCUUCUCUCUGUUUUAAGUUCUAAUACAUGACAGGUGAAAAAAAUAAAAAUAAAUAUGUUUGUAUUGAGAUGAUGAUUUUUGAUGUUAUGUCCUAGCCUUACUGAUAUCUUUUGGGAGAUCUUUUAAAUGGUAACUUGUCCUUUUUUGACAAUGUGCCAGUCCAACAAAAAGCAUGUCACCAAUUCCAGGCUAAAAUUUAUCUUUGACAUAAUUUUUUCUUUGUUAUAGGCUAAUUUUUCUUUGGUUAGUUUCUUAUGCAUAUUUUUUUAGAUUAAGCUUGAUUUUUAAUAUUAAGAUUGAGAUAAUUAAGCUUGAUCAUGCUUGAUUUUUCUAAAGCUUGUAGGUUCCCAAAGUUUGUCUAUUUUGUUGUCUUGGAUAGAUCACCUAUGAGGGGGGCAAUGUGAUAGGCAUUGCUUAGAAUUUGAACAUAAUGGAUAGGUAGAGAUGUAUUUCUAAGCUUCUAGGUGAGUUUUUAGCACCUUGACAUGGUUGCACAACACCAAGGCUUCAUGUGGUGGCACCUUGCACCCAUUAAGUGCCUAUGACAUGUGGGGAGACAUGUCAUGCACGAGGCAAGGUGAUGAAUGAGGCUAAGGAUCAUGUCAAGGCUUGGUAGUGGCAGCACACAGGUGUGCACAAGCAAGGCACCAUGUGGGUGGCUUGACCUAACAAAAAUUCAAGUGCGGGAUUUUUUAUGAUGGAAAAUUUUCCUUUAAAGAGGAUGCCUUGAGUUAGGGUUUCCAAGUGACAAAAUGAUUUUUCAGAUUUUCUAUUUUUUUAGAAAAUUCAUUAUGCUUGGUCAAACAGCUAUGAUAUCUCCUCCUAACACUCUGGGAAUGACUUAAAACGUUCAAGGAGGGGGGUGGCCCACUAAAGGGUGGUGAUGGUGACAAAUUAUGCCACAUCAAGAGCAUGACAUGAGGGCAAACAUGAGCAAGGAUUGAUGGUGAGCCUUGCUAGCUUGCAUGCAUGAGCGCAAUGCCAUGUGUGGUGCAACCCUUGGGCCUUAAUAGGGGGUUGCGGUUAUGGUGCAUGGCAUGAGGAUGCGUGCUUCGGUUGGAAGGAUCUAUGUGGUUAGCAGACACAUGGACGAUGAGCUAAGAAGAGGACUUAGCACCAAGGCAAGGUUGCAUAAGCAUGUGGGCCAAGAGAGGGCUCAAUACACAUGGACUGCCUAGAAACACAAGUAACAGGUUGGGUGGCACAUAAGGCCACCUAGACACAUAAAUGGCAUAAAUGGGCUUGAUGUUCGUGGGCUCAACAAGACGCAUGGGUUGGCACUAAGCAUGACACCUGUAGCGCACCUUGGCAUUGAGGCAAGCCCAAGUAAGACGAGGAAUGGGAGAUUGACAACUGAUAGGCUGAGAUGUGCUAGACACUUGACAUGAGCCAAACAAAUCUUUGCAACACAAGAGGCAUGUGGCAAGCAAAGGUGCAAGCAAGCAACUAAGUCCGUAUGAUAGAGGCAUGACAAGAGUGGGUUGUUGAGUUUGGGAACAGGUGGCAAAGUUAGAGGCAAGCAACACAUGCAACUAGACAUGUGGCAAAUGACUGAAGCCUUAGGAUAGGCUGAAGCAUUUGAAUUCAAAAGAGUCAAUCUCCUAGAUGAGGGGGAGUUGGUUGGCUGAUGGAUGCCUCUAUAAAUCGUGUGCCUACUAGUCAUUCUCUGCAUCAACUCACCAAAGAGAUUGUGGGAAUCUUGUUAAAAGAACCAGGGUUGUUCCUUGUAAAUUCUGUGGAGUAAUAUACAAGUUAGAGUGUUACUCUGUAAUCUUGUGUGGGCUGUGUGAUUUUCCUUGUUGCAUCUCGUGCAGGUCUGGUUAGAGAAGGUUGGCUUAAAGGGUUUUUAAGAUCCACACAACGUGAAAAAGUAGUGGGGAAAUUUUGUAGUUGUGACAUUAACCAAGUAAUUUAAAUGAAAGAUUCAAAGCUUAUGAAAAGGUCUAGACCAGCCAUGAUUGAUGAUACACGGUUGGAUGGUGAAAAAGCAUAUAUGAAAAUGAGUGGAACUGAAAUAAGUUGUUGAGCUGGAUGAGUAACAAGUUCAAAGUUCAUAGAAUGGGAAAUUAAUGCAAUUGUUUGAACCUGAAACACCACUUUUCAGUGACAGAUGAAGAAAAGUUGAUGAGAUGGACGGUUAUUUAAAAUGGACACGUUCCAUUAAGUACUAAGGUGCAAGUUGAAAGCUCGGAAUGGAUACUGUGUUGAGGAGAUAUUUGUUAUCUAUUAUUUUCUUGGUACUUUGUGAAUUUCACUUAACAAUAGUCAUGACCUUCAAUAGGUAGAAAUGGGAGAUUGGACUGAUCUUAGAGGGUUGGAACAUGACUUACUCUGGACCAUGUUGUAUCAUAGUUUAAUGUUGAUUAUAUUUAGUUGGUUUUCACUUGUGGGAUUGACAGCAAAUAUUACAAUUGAAACUGCAUUUUGGUUUUCGUUUUUAUGGCUUAAUUGGCUGUUAAUUUUUUUACUGAAAUGUCUGUAUUUUGCUCUGUUACUUGUUUUAUCUUCUUUUUACUAAGGUUUGAUUGUUAUAUGUGCAGCAAGACCGGCAGAGCUUGUUAGGGAUACUGAGAUGACAGCGCCUUGUGGGACAACAAUCCUUUAUCCAUCGUCUGGGGGCAACAUCCACACUUUUGAAGCUGUAACUCCCUGUGCUAUCUUAGACAUCCUGUCUCCACCUUACUCUUCAGAGAAUGGGCGUCAUUGCACUUAUUUCCGGAAUUCUCCAAGAAAGGAUCUACCCGGUAAAAGAAUUUAUUUUCUAUUAACCUGGUUCAUUAGCAUUUAUUUUUUACAUUUCCUCUCUGAAACAAAAGGAUUUGCCUUUUGAUUGUUCCUCUCAACUACUAACUCUUUUUUAUUUGUGUUUAAAUGAAGGCGAACUUCAGUUGAAUGGAAUGACCGUUUCUGACGUGACUUGGUUAGAAGAGUUUCAACCCCCUGACAACUUUGUGAUUAGGAGGGGGCAGUACAGGGGACCCGUCAUCAGACGUUGAGAAUUCUUGUUUUGGGUGUGCCGUACAUUUGAAUGAAUUAGGAUUUUCCAUAUUAGGAAACAUUGGGGGGAAGCUCUGGUAUAUGGGUUGUCAAUAGCCUUGGCAAUAAUUAAUCUUAUUGGCUAUAUAAGUUUAGGUAUUUGGAAUGUACAUAUUUAUAUACCAUUAUAGUACUUCCAUUCACUGACCUCACCUUUAACUAGUGGAACAGUCACCGGAAUUUGUGAGAACUUGUGUCUGAUAAAGUUCUUAUGGGGAAUUUUUCUCCCAUUGCAAUAGGCAGAUGCAAUCUUUUUGUCGCCCUAGUUAAGCAGCUGGGUGUAGAACUACUUUCUAGUCCUUAAAUCAUCUUGCGUUGCUCAAGCUCAGCUUUGUUUAACAGGUGAAAACCAAAGCUCAAUUUGUCACCUUCAGUUUUUUCUGUCUCUUAUGUUUUGGAGAAGUCAGACCGAUGAUUGGCCUGACUAAAUAACUAAUAUGUUAAAGAUCUGCGCUGUGAUCUAUAUCAAUGCCAAUUAGUAAUUGAUAUAUCUUCACAGAGCUCGGGUUUUGACACUUUCGAGGCCAUGGCUAAGGAGCUAACUGAUGUGUUUGAGCUCCAAGUAUCUAUGCACAGAAAGCUACCUUGGUUAUCAGCAAGAAUUAAUUGCCCUGUAAUUUAAUCUGAUGCUGAAGUAAAAAUUUGGGAUUGUUACAUAAAUGUCCUGGACCAAUUGCUAGUGGGAAAGAUUGCAAACUCCCCAAUCUUUAGAAUAAAAAGAAUGGAUUUAAGUUGUUUCUUAAUACAGGUUGAGGUUUUAUAUGGUAUGUUGUUAAUGAUUGUUGUCAUGACAUCAUGUGAAUCCAUUAACCUCAAUGCCAAAUAGAGGUUUAGAGAUUUAGGAUUGUGUGUGCUUAUUUCUUGGCAAGGGUUUAGGGUUGAUAUGGGAUGUAUCAUUCUUCCAAAUAGGAUCACUAAAUUAGGCAUUUGCCUCAUAUUUACAUGAGUAUUUCAAAGAUUAAGAAUGAAUUCAUAUAGAUCAGAACGUUCCAAUAGCAAUUCUAAAAUAAAUGAUAAAAUCAAUAUAAAUGGACUAAAAGAAAUUGAUCAAAACCAGUAAUGGUAAAAAGAAGAAUCAUACUCAAAUUAGCUGAAAAUGAAGGAAAACAACAAACAAGAAGCAGCAACAGAUGAGUAAAACCAUACCAAGUUGGUUGAAGGCAAAGAUUGAUGAAGAGCAUUUGAAUGCAUCACCCUACCAAGUGAACCAGAAAGAGCCAAACUUUGAUCCAAAUAAUGAUGUGGGACUUUGGGUUUUAAUAGAAGGGCAAUGGGUUUAAGUUGCAGACCAGAAACAGUGGUAGCCCAUGACCUAAAAUUACAGUGGGCUGUGUUACAGGAGGUUCAUGGCACUCACACGUUCACAUCAUUCUUUUUUCUCUUCUUGUUUUUGUUGUUAGUGCAAAAAGUAAUAGCUGAGUUGACCAAAUUUGAGAUGUGAUUGGUGGGAUUCUCAGCUAAAGACACUUGAAACCUACCAUUGGAGCAAUGAGCAUUAGUGAAUUACUUCCCAGAUAAUUAUGAGAAGCAGUGGAUUAUAAAUACUGUCAAGUUGAACGUGGAGUGCUGAGCCAUACCGCGGCUCACCUGGUUUUCAUGCUGCAACUUGGAAUUAUCAAAAUGGAAAAUACAAAGUGGUAGUUAUCUUGAUGGGAGGGUGUAGUUGAAUGAAGUUUGGUGUGACCCAGCAUCUAAGCUUACCCUAGGCCACCACUGGCCAAUCAUGGGUUUCAGUGGCUAGCUAGCCAUGUGGUUGAAUUCUCACCCGUGAGUCUGAUUGGUUGAUGGCAUUGUCCACAGAAUAUCCAGGCUCAAUGAACCAGCAUCUUGUUGUGGGAACCUAACACAAGAAUGUGCUUGUGUCACUGCUCAUGAGAAUUUCUUUAGUCUCAUCCACCACUUCAAACUCAAAUUUUUUAGAACGUUCUAAAAACUGUUUUGUUAGUUACAAAACCCGUUUUCUAAGUUAGAAAACUGGUUUAAUAAAUUACUUAUAAAAGCAGUUGUUUUAGCAUUUGUAUUUUGAAAUAUUUUUAGUUAUUUUUUAUAGAGUUUUUUAAAAAAAAAUUUUAAUAAUAAUUUAAAAAAUAGAUAAUAUUUUGAAAGCUUUUGUAUUGGACAUCAGUGUACAAUACUCUAUGGAGAAUAAGCUGAGAAAUUCCUUUUUAUAUGUAUAUUAGAGUUUUCAAACAUAAUUUUAUUCAUUAAAAAUAGUAGAUAAAUAUUUUCCAAAACGGUUCUAAAAAAAUAUUUUGAAAAUGUUUUCAAACAAAUUCUUAAUUUCUAACUGUCUUUUCUUUUGCUAUUUGGAAGUAGGUUUUUAUUCAUGAAAUAUGAAAAUUAAGAAAUGUUAAACAAAACUAUAUAUAUUAGGGAGUUUGUUCAAGAAAAAUUUGUUUGAUUGAGCAUUUCAAUGUUUGAAGACAUAAUUAACUUACACUAGAACAAAAUUAUAGAUAGUGGUCUUCUACACCACUUUUUGGGCUUCAAAGUUCACCAUGUUCUACAGCACAAGAAACUACACCCAUGGUAUGGUGGGCUGCUGCGUACAUCCUCUUGACUGGUAUUUAGUUUAUAACUUUCCACGUGAUGAUUUCAGCCCAUUGUGCAUGACCAGCCCAGAGGCAGAUGGACAGUCAAGAGUCAAGAGUACUCCAAGAGAGAGAGGCAGUGGGCAGUGGCCACAAGGAAAAGAGAAUUUUUUGAGAACGUAAAUUUGAUUAUAAAAGGGUUUAAAGUUUAAGCUAAAACCCAGAAGAGGAUAAACAUUAAUGAGCACACUUCUCAGUUGAAACAAGCCAAUUCACUUCUUUUGGUGCUAGUUUCCAUGCUACUUCUUGACUGAUUCUUACCCUAAGAUUCAUCUCCCUCCUUCCGCAAAACAUGGGCAUGUGAUCUACAACACAUACAUACAAACACACACACAGAUCGGAUACAUUGCCUAUGUUCGCGGCGACACUUUAGCCAACACCAAGCCAUUCACACCUAGAUUCUUUGCAUUAUAGCCUUUUUAUAUGGAGUUUAUGAAGAAAGAGAUCAGUAUGAUUAUUCUCCAAGUCCAAAACCAGAUGGGUGUGUAAGCUUCCCUCAUUCUAUUUUACUUGCUUUUGAGAUCUCUCUCAUCUUAAUUUUUAUGCUUUGGGAAUAUUUGGCCAUUUAUUGCAUGUGUUAGCAUUUUGGUUUUUUAAAUAUUGUAGCUAGGAGUUAGGUUUGGAGGUGUUUAUAUUAAUAAAACACCUAGAAUAAUGCUAGGUUUUCAAUUAGAGUCUGCCACAUUGUACAAAUAACUUUAAUUUUUACAAAAAUAAAAAAUAAAAAAUUAUGAUUCUUUUAAUGAAGACUUUAUAAACUUAAUUGUUUUAAUUUCCAAGUGCCUGAUAACCCUAAGGCUAUAUGGCAUUGAUGUGAUUAAAGGGUGGGUAGGAGUUGAUCAUCCUUUCAUGAAUUCAAACUUGGAUAGUAAUUGGGUUGGGUAUAUUAUGUCAAUGGAAGUCUGCUUCAUCUCUGCAGGUUUGGCUAGCAAAGACUUGCAAGCUCAAAAAAGGAGUUGGCACUGAUCAAAGACUAGUACUCUUAUAGACUAAUUGGUUUAUCAGCAUCGAUUGAUUGGUUCAUUAGAAGGUCAAGUACAUUCUAUGAUGAUAACAUCUAUAUGAACAACAUACUGUAUGUGCACAAAAAUCAGAUUAGAUUAAACAAGUUCUAAGAUCUGAUUUAUCUACCAUUUUCAAUUUGGACCUCCAAGGCCUCGUUAUCGGUAUCGCAGAACCCAAGUGGCUAAAAACAAAUGUGUAUAAUAAACUAUCCAUGGUUUUUGGUAGAACGACAUAGCCUCGGUCUCCAUCCUGCUUCUGUAAUUGAGAAAGUAUGAUGGAUGAAGAACGUCAUCAUUUCUUGCAACUUUCAUGGGCCCUCUAUGUAUGAAUUAUAUUAUUCUUUCAUUGUUUUAUCUUUUUAGUUUAUUAAUCUUGGUGACAAGGGAUCAUAACUUGCUAGAAAUGGCUACUGAUCUUGUUCUUGAAGCUUCACUAUGACACGUAUAUAUACCUAGUUUUACAUUAUAGAACCCUAUGAUAGAUACAAGCUGAAUCGACAAUGCAUGACACUGAAGCAUGGUGAUUAUGAGAAAUAAUAUUAAUGCUUGUAUGUACAGACCUAGUUAUUGAGUUUUAAUUUCUAUCUCUUUAUUUUUCUUCACAUAUAAUUUAGAUUCAUUAUAGAUUGUCACCGAAAUGAAAAUAUAUAGAUGAAAUUUGCAACUUAGUGGUGGUUUGAUAAACUAAUUUAAUAACUUAAAAUGAUUUAAUAAUUUAAUUCAAGUCAUUAAAUAAAUUAAGGUAGUAUUUGUUUUUUUGCUUUUUUGUUUAAAGUAGUUUGUUUUCAAAAUUUAGGUAGUUUGUUUUUCUAUUUUUUUAUGACUUAUUAUAAACUUUUUAAUAAAUAGAAAAAACUAAAAUAUGUAGUUUUUUUUAAUUAAAUAGAAAAAAUAACAUAUUGGAUUUUUUUACUUUUUAAUACUUAAUAGAAAUAAAAUACUACAAAAAUAAACAAUCUAAUAUUUAACCACUAUUAAGGAUUAAAGUUCUAUUUAGAAUUAAGUAAAAAAACAAGCACCAUCUAAGUAUGUUUAGUAAAAUGAUAACUUAAAGUUAAAAAUAAUUUUAAGUUAUAAGUAAAAACGAUUAAUCCAUUUUUAAGUCUACAUAUUUAUUUUACCUUCAUUUAUCUUAAUUAUUUUCAUGAUCUCCUUUGUUUUUUCAUAACCUUCACUGUUACUCAAUCUUUUAUACCCUAAUUAUAAUUUAUGAGGAUAAAUAUGUUAAUUUAAAAUUUUAAAAUAUGUUUUAAGUUAAUUUGAUCAAACAAACUUAAUACUUAAAGUAAAAUUAAAUAAUAAAUUUUAAGUUAACAACUUAAAUUAUUAAGUAAUAAAUGUUAAGUUUUAUCAUACAUCCCUUACUAUAUCUCUAAAUUUUUGGGUUGAGUGAAGUGAAAAUAGGACAAAUUUCAUGUAACUCAAAAAAUUAGAAGUGGUUUAUGAAAUUCUUCUUGGCGUAGGUUUUGGUCAUAGAUUAUUGGAAUUGGAAACCUUUUGCAAGUGGGUUCGGGGGAGUUUCUAUACAGAUUUACAGAGAAAGUAGUGGAUGGAAAAUGAGGCAAAUUCAUCCAUGAAAUUUAGGGCUUGAUGCAGUAGCUAAGACAUACAACUUUGCUAAUGAAACUUCCUCAUCUGGCGUAUUAGAGCGCAUUGGUGUAUAUUCCACCAAAGAUUCUCCGUUUGGUUUGCCGAUGCAAUAGAAUAAUGAAAAUGUCAACUCCCCAUGCAGGAGAAGACAAAACAUAAAUGGGUUAAUCGGUGAUUAGGGAAAGAUGAACAAUUCCUUAAUUAUUUUCUUAACUACACAAAACCCGAUUAACCCGAUUGAUUAAUUUCCUCACCUCUCCUGCAUAGCCUUUACCAUUCAAACUCUUACUUUAAUCCUUCGAAUAUUUGUCUUCAUUGCCUUAUUGGAAUCCAUGAAUCUUUCUCUGUCUCUCUCUCACACACACACAUCUUCACACAUAAAAAUGUAUUCACACAUACCUAUAGUCAUAUUAAUAAAUGUCACACAUAUCUAGUCAGGUUUCGAGUGUCUUUUAGCUAAACCUAAUCCCUUCAAUGAUUCCAAUAGUGACCUCUUCUCUUUCCAAAGACUAAAUAAACAAUCUCUGUCGUGUGAGGACAAAAUUUUCAAAUUCUACCUAAAAUGCCUUGGAAAGUAAAUCCUUGGACAGUAGGUAGGAAAAUAGAGAAAAAAGACAACAUAAGGGUAUAACUAAUUAAUGCUUUAUGGGAGACAACAGUUCUCUCUUACCUAUCAUCUAUCAUUCUUUCACUUUUUCCCCUUCUAUAACUUGUACUGUCUCCUUCAAUUUCUAGACCAAGUGUUGGGUGCCUCAACAUUACCAGCUGCUAGCAUUUUUUAUUUUGCAAAUUAGAUCUUUGGAAUAGGGUGAUUCCAUACUAAUUUUUGGUUUAUUAAUGAAUAUAUUUUCAUUAAUUUACAAAAAAGAGCAAGAUUGUUUGUAUUCCCUUUUAUGAACUUUCUGAAUGUCUUAAUUCAAAAACUCUAUUUUAUUACUUGGCAUGUACUUUAAGCAGUGUAAAGGACUGGAAGCUCAUGAGUGGAGUGCAAACAUUUAGGAAUACCCUUUUCUUUGAUCAUUCAAGUAAUCAGGAGAAACACACAUAAAAAGGUAGAAAAUGUUUGUUGAUUCUCUUUCCAAGGAGCUCCAUCUAUUACCAAGAAGUAUGACUAGCUAAGUAUGAGCUUGCAUACCACAAAACAUAUACCUAUUUUUAAAUAUUGGAGUAUGAUCACAAUGACUGUGAUGUGGGUCUCACUCAAUAAUUUAUCUAGUGAGGAAAAGGUUUAUAUACAUAUACUAAAAUCAUUAUCAUUUGCUGGGAGAAAGUUCACCGUCUUGUAUUUAUUUAUUUAUUUUCUGUAAAUGAGCUUAAUUAGUUAAAAAAUAAUAUCAUGAAGGGUUGUAUUAUGAUCUUCUAAUAAUUCACUAUUUCUUUUUGUAAUUACGUAUAAACUGGUUCUUGAAUUCAUCAACACUUCUCUUAUAAGAAUCCCAAUAGAAAAAAUGCCAACAGAUAUUUUUCUAAAGGUUGAUUGAUGUUGACACGUGAACUAAGAUUCUAGGUAGCAGAAGGCUAGUUUCUUGGCUAAUAUGGGGUUUCAUAUAUAUACCAGUUCUCAUUAAUUUUCAGCUACUCAGAAUCCAUUCUCUAAACAUCUUAGCUUCCAGUUAUUUUGUGCUCAACAAAGGAAACUUUACAUAUAUGUAUGUUAGUUUAUAUAUCCAUAUAGAAGGAUGACAUGGUUCUAAAAACUUAAUAACUAGGCAAUAAAUCUUGGGUGGAUGAUCAACAAUCUGAGGUUUCAAAAACAUAUAGUUUUUAUUCAACCUUUGUUAUUUGCCAAUUUAUCCCUAAAUAAGUUUUAGGUAGGUAUUGUGCUCCGUGUGACAAGGAAUCUUUCAUAUUAAUUAUAUGACUAGAUAGAUAAUAUAUAUGCAUAUAUAAUCCCCUAGUAGAAUUGCCCAGCUAGCUGUGACGUAGCAAUGCUUAUAGGGAAACCUAAGACAUAAAUUUAAUCACAUCACUUAAAAAAAUCACAGUAAUUUAUUUAGUCCCUAAAUCAAUACUUAGUUUUCAAAGAGGUCUUGAGAACUGGUUGUCUUUGGCACCUUUUAUAUUGAAUUGUGCUUUGCUAGAUUAGAAAAUUAAUCAGGCUAGCUAUAAGUAGCCUUUACCAUCCAGAUAUCAUUUCCACAUCCAGAGAUUCGGAAUACAGUUCUUUGUGAGCUGUGCUGGCGAACACUUGGUCUGAAGCCAAAGCAUGAUUUCUGGUUAUAUAUGGAUUAUUAAUUAGAACCACUAGCAACAGUUAAUUUCAAUCAUUGAUCAACUAAAAAAUUCUACACUAAGCUGAAUCUUUAAAUUAGAAACCAUACACUUCUUUUUUCCUUUUAACUUGGAAAAGAUAGGUAGGUAAUACAUGAUCAGCUAUUGUUUUUAAUGUACUUUAGCUCUACAUACUUAACUGAUAAAACUCAUAAAAGAAUAUGUGAUAGUUCCUUGGGGAGACGUGGUUGAGUCUUAGCUUGCCUAAGACCUUAACUUGUGUCAUCACAUUUGGUCUCAUCAGACAUGACUCGAGGUGAGAAACCAUGAAUGAAAUUCUUUCUUCUCAUCUGCAGAUGUAUGCUACUGAGUCAUGUUAACUCUUACUGCAUCCAUGAUUGAUUUGUUAUUUGUUUUAUAUGUUUGUAAUCAGAUUUAGGGUUAUUGCCCUAAAACCUCACAAUUUUUUUUUUUUAAUAAAGCUGGAAGCAUUGUGUGCAUGUUUUUACCCACCAAAUUCAGACUAUUUUACAGUUAACAUAGGCUAAUUUGGCUGGCCCAGCACCAUGGAUAAUAAUAAGAUCUAUUCAAAGGGUUUCAAAUUUCCAGAUCAGAACAAUGAAUCAAAGUGGUGGGAAUAUAAACAACAUAAACUAAAGCCAUAGGGAACAACAAUAAGAACAAAGGGACAGAGAAAUAGUGUUAAAAUAUAGGAAGAAAGUCAUCUCUUGAAAUGGUUGAGCAAUACAACAAAGAGAGCAGUCCCUAGCAGAGGUCAACCAUGAAGAUUAUCACGGAUGAGAGAGAGAGAGAGAGAGGGAUGGACAAGCUGUCAAAGAAGACCAAAACGAGAAAGGCUCGAGAAGUCACAUGAUUUUCAACAGUUCAAGAGAGUGGUGGUGGCAUCUUAACUCGUAGUAUUAGUAUUGUUAUCCUAGUGUAAAAAGGACAAAGUGGAAUUGUCCGACCAAUGUCUUCCCUUUCUAAUAUAGUAAUUGAAGUCUUUAAGAAAUCUGAAGUAUGACUAAUGGCAUGAAGCUUAAUUUCAACAGAUUCCUAGCCAGAAAAUAAAAUAACUCCCCAGAGUUCAAUGCAGCCAAAUCAUCUCAAUGCAUAACACAAGAGUACCAUGCAGUAGAUCUCUCCCUCUCUCCUCUCUCUCUCUCUCUCUCUCUGUCUUAAGAUUUGAUCUAUUCUUCGUUUACUGAGUUGUUUUUGGUCAAUCAACAUAUCCAUCAAUUGAUACACCAGCGUGUCUCAUGUUGGUAAGUUCAUAUGAAUCAUCCUUUGAUCUACUUUUCAGAUGCAUGCUUUGGAUUUAUUUAUCAAAAAACUUCUUUUCUGUUGGUAGGGAAGCUGGUUACUUCAUGAUCCAUCGAUCUUAUUUGAAUCCAAUACAAAGUGUUCUCAAAAUAUAGGAAAUUUGAUACACUUACUGAUUCUGCCGCUACUUUUCAUCUGAGCAGUCCAAAUCGUGGAAGAAAGAAAGAAUGAAGCUCCAUCAUCAAUGGUUUGUACUCAAGAGAAAAGAUUAAAUCCUCUGUGCAUCCAAGUCAUUAAUUUCUUCAGGAAGCUUAGACCCUAAGGUUUUAUGUUGUAUCAAAUUUCAGGAUUUUAGAAGUUCCAUAAAUCAUUCCCUUUUCAAUCUUUGGCCACUUUUUCUUUUUCUUCCUCCCCACCUAAUUUUAAACAGUUUCUUAUCAUUUCCAGAAAAGAUGUAUCAUUUUCCUUUUGCAUUCAACAAGAAGUUGAUCAUCCAAAAUUUUCUAUUGCCAAUUCAUAUAACCAAGCUUACUAAUAGUAAGUGCUAUUUUGUAGCUAAAUAUUGCUAUUCAAUUGCUAUAAAAGCUCAAACCUGAAUUUCAGUUGAUGAUUCAAUAUAUUCCUCUUUAUAUCUGUUGAUUUUUUUUUUUUCUGGAAUUUUCCAGGUCAUCUGCAUUUCGCAUCAUUCAUUGUGUUGUUUUUAACAUUUCUGAAGUAUUACCACCUAUCUCUUAGUUUUGCAAAGCAUGAACUACCAUGAAAUGAAUUAAGAAGGCAAACAAAAAUAGAGUUCUUGACACCUUCUAAGGCCAUCAUCAUGCUGGAAAAUUUCUUCCCCACCUGGGCACAAAAAUAAAAUUGUGAUUCUGUGCAAAUUGAUGAAGAUGUUUAAAGGGUUUCUAGUGACACAUGUACAUACUGCUGCCGUAAAUUUUUUUCUCUUUAGAAGAACACACAUACUUAUGAAGGCAUUUUCAUGAAAUAAAUGCAUGGUGAAUUUGUUAGAGUUAGCAGUUGAUCAUUUGAUAUUACAUAUAUAUGCACAUUAGUUAAGCAUACAUUACUUCAGGGAUAAUAUCUUGGAGGUUUGUACUUGGGAAAAAUCAUUUUGAUAACAUGAUAUUCAUGUGUCAAAAGAGGCUUCAACAUGAAAUAGGAAGGAGUUUCCAUUGUUUUUUAAUUUUUUUUUUCCUUUGUCUUUGAAGUACAAUAUAAUGCCAUUGAAGGGAGCCUAGUAGGCUAGUACUAUGGAAAAUACAUGAACCAAUACUGUUCUAGCCUUCUAGGAAACUUAGAAUGCCAUUUUGUUCACUCCACAUUUUUUUUCUUGCUUUCAUUUUUAUUACUAAUAUUUGGAGGAAAAUUCUUAGAUUAAUUACUGCUCUUAAUUUUUCCCUUCACCACAUUAAUAUUUCUAUAGACAUUCAUAAAAUCGAGAAAUUAAAAUUUACAUUCAUUUAAUUACCAUUAUUCACUUAUUUAUAAGUAAUGCAAGAAUAAUUAGGUAACUAGAAAUUCAGGCAUAUUAGUUGAGUUUGAUCUCAAAACUCUCCUUUUUACAUUGAUGGGUUGCAUGAUGUAUUCCUUCUAAUGCAUCCUAUACAUUCAGUUUGUUUGCAUUUUUUUUAAUACAUUCAUUUAUAACAAUGAAUAAGAACAUUCAUAUUUGGAGUCAAGAACACAUCAUUUUGAUCAAUUAAUUCAUUUGGAAUGCAACCGAAGAUCUCUUUGGAAAUUUUACAUAUGCAUGAUCAUUUAAGUAAAAUUUGUCAGAAAUUAUUAAUUCCUCCUAUCCUCAUCAUUCUAAUGCAUUUGUUUUCUUCUUGCCUCAAAAUGUUAUCUAUCUUAAUUAUGCUAUACUUCUCAUCUGCCUAGCUAAUGCAAAUCAAUGAUUCAAAAUCUAACAGCACACAAGACUGUCCUCAACAGCCAAGUAGCUACCAGGAAGUCUAGAAGUUCAAGGCUGCGGGGAACUGCUAAAGAGAUAGAAUACUAUUAGCCAUGGCUGAGAGAAUAGAGAUUUCUGAUGAUAAUAGGAGUGAUGGAAGUGAAAUUCAAACCAAAACCUCAUCUCUAUUAUGUUUUCCAGGGCAUUUGUCCUUUGACUUGAAUCAAAAGGCCAUGGAUGAAGAGGAUAGUAGCACCACUGGUGUUCCUGAAAAUGAAGUUAAAGAGGACGAGACAUCAACAGAUGCUAAUUACAGUAACAGUAGUAACAACACAACUGUAGAAGGGAAAGAACGAACAACAGUUAGGCAAUAUAUUCGAUCAAAAAUGCCUAGGCUCCGUUGGACUCCUGAUCUCCAUCUUGCUUUUGUGAAUGCUGUUGAAAGGCUUGGUGGGCAAGAAAGUAAGUUUUCUUUGGGUGCAGACUUCUGAGUGUAUUUCCAUUUCAUCGUUCAGAAAUAUCAAUUGGAAUAGGGAAGAGAAGAAAGUUAUUGCUCUAUCAUCUUUGUGGAAUUGUUUUCCCAAAGAUUUUUCCAUCCCACACAAAUAACUGAAAGAAAACUAUUUUCUUAAUGUAUCAUCCCUUUUUUUACUUUGAUUUUGUUUGAAUAAAUGCAGGAGCAACUCCCAAAUUAGUUCUUCAGUUGAUGAAUGUGAGAGGACUUAGCAUAGCUCAUGUAAAGAGUCACUUGCAGGUAAUGAAAAUGACCCAAGUUGGUUAGGUUAACUCUGUCAACAUUUAUAUCAGAGCGACUAGUCCCAUUAUUUUUAACCAUUAAUAUUUUUGCCUUUGUCCAUUUUCCUGAAUUUAUGCAUGGUGAUCUUCAAAUUCAGAUGUAUCGAAGCAAGAAGCUUGAUGAUUCUGGACAAGGUAAAAUUUCAGUGCCCUUUUAGCAGUUCAACACUAUAUCUUCGGUUUAUAAGGUCUGUUAGUAUACAAUUUAAAGACAGGUUGACAAGUUGAUGAAACAAACUAGCCAAAACCACUGAUCAACAAAGUAUGACAUCUAAACUACAGGGCUUUGAUCACAUGAAUAGCUUUCACGCUAUUCAGCUGUAUCUAGCGUCUGGAUUGCAUCUUCAGCUUGAAUUGGCCUAUUUAUGGAUAUAAUAGGUCAUUAUUUGAACAUGACUUUCAAAACAAGAGUAAAGAGAAAAUGCUAAAAUUAACCAAAAGACAGUUUUCAUGUUAGAUUAGAGUUCGCUCAUUAUUUGAAGAAAGUAAUAGUAUCAGAUUCAUGAGCUCUUGCUGGUUUAUGAGCUGAUCACUAUUUUUCUGUUUUCCCUUAUUUAUUUGUUUAUUUAUUAUUAUUUUUAAUUUGUGCAUCUUUUGUACAGUUCUAUCUCACACGAGUAGACCGAUGUAUGUAAGAGAUCACAUUCUGGAGAUGUACCAAAGAGCCAGUCCUUACGGACACUUUAGAAUGGAGAACAGGAGCCACUUCUUUUCUCCUGUAUUGAGACAGAAGUUUGACCCCAAAGCUAGCUCUUCAAGGUCACUAAAUUACAACUCCAGUGAUGAGAAACCCAAAAGAACUUGUUUGGCAAAUGUUUUAGACAUAUUCCUAACUGAUGAUCUCUGUCCUUUUUCUCUCAUAUUAUAGAAACCAACAGUGGGCUUUCGAUCAUGAUGUGAGGCAAACAAGUUCGCUAUGGAGGAAGGAUUCUGAACUUGAUCUGAUGAGUACGGAUUGGAACAAGGACCGGUCAACAAACUCACACCUGUUUGAUGUAAGGGAUGGGGGAACAGGAAUUGUGCCGAUUCAUACUAGCCGAUUUCUUGAAGAGAAGAAGUGGCCUCCACGGGAGUUGAUCGAAAAUCAAGGGAAGGGUAGAAAUAAUUCUCAAAAUAUAUGUUGGGAUGGUUCCUAUUCUGAACUUCUAUUAAACCAAAUGCAUCCGAAGCCAAUUUCAUUUGGUGGCAAUAACUAUGCCAUGCAGCCUUCUAUUUGGAGUACCAAUCCCAGCAUCAUCAACAAACAACUUCAAUCCAACAGAUGUAAUCCCUUGUUCUUAUCAAAUAGCUUUGAACCUGAGUUUGAAUCCCCAUUUCGAGUCGAGGUAUUUAACAUAGAUCACUCUUUUCCAUAUGCUUAUAUCUGAAAUUGGUUAAUUGAACUGACUUGAUCUAACCCUUUUAAAAUGCAGCUCCACAGGUUACAAGAAAAACAACCCCAGAGCAUAAAUGAAAUGGUAUUGCAAGCAGAAGAAAGUGCCUUUGUAGACAGGUUUAAAGAGAAGAAACAGCUACCUGAUUUACAGUUAAGUUUGAGCCACAACUUUGAAAUUGGUAAUGAAGUGAAUAUUAAUCCUCGGGAAAGCACCAAAGAGAUCAGCACAAUGCUUUCUCUUUCUAUGGCCAACUCUUCGUCGAGAAAACAAGCACAAUCUAGUGAAAACAGAAGAGAUUUGGAAGUUAAAAUUUGGGAUAGUUACAAACAAGUGGUACCAAGGCCACAGGGCUGAGUACUUAUUAGGAUCUGACCAUGUAAAAUUGAGCAUAGAAGUGAGAUCUUUUAAGUACUUGUCUUAAAGGCCAAACUGGACAAUUAGUUUUGCUGCUCACAAUAAGGUAUCCCCAGUUGUUUCUCUCAGGUUAAAACUGGAUGAUAGUUGCAAGCUAGCAUUUUUUUUCUUUUUUUUUCAAUCUUAAAUAUUUAGUUCCUCAAUUUCAUCAUAUGGUUUUGCUGAAAUUAAUUAACAUAAAAGUUCAAAAUAAUAUAUACUGAAUGAAUUAACUGCAAUGCGGAGUAUUUGCCUACAUGUACUAAAGCUGUAAAUCAAGCUUGUCACUACAAAAAUGCA